This 46355-nucleotide long non-coding RNA is filed under the name Homo sapiens (human). RNAcentral describes it as "non-protein coding lnc-SETD7-3:3". The stretch from base 16916 to 17042 matches the Rfam family "Small nucleolar RNA ACA64". Lineage: Eukaryota; Metazoa; Chordata; Mammalia; Primates; Hominidae. The record is from RNAcentral.
CGCGCAAUCACUCCGGGGGCGGGGAGAGACAGACAACUGAGAGGAAGGAGGUACCACGGGCACUCUCUCGCGAGAGGGCCGCAGAGCCGCCUUUGACGGGGGCGUGUACCUGGAGAGCAACGGUAAGGACGGAGCCGACGGCUCCGGCGUCGGGUCGGUUCCGGCAUCGACGUAUCGUUUGGUCGCCCCAGAGAGGAGACAGGUUUCUUCAGCUUGCCGCUGAGGAUGUGGCAUCGGCUGCGCUCACCGCCGCCGCCUCUGUGAACUGCGGGAGUUGGGACAGCGGCCAGGGCUAGAUGGGUGGGACGCGAGUCCUCGCCGAAAGCUUGCCCUGUGCGGGGCGCACUUGGAGGCGAGCUCUGGGCCGUGGCGAGUUUUGCAGCCUAAGGUCUUGGCAGGCGCAUUGCUGUGGGCUGCCGGAGAGCAGGCUGGAGUUCGAGACCGCCCACCGGAGAGCAGGCGAGAGUUCGAGGCCUAGUGACAUCUGUUUGAGCAGAUGAAUAUGCCAUUGGGAAAGUCAAGGACUGUCGGAGAGGAGGACAUGGCAGACCUUAACUAAAGUGAGGGGGACAGUAGAGCACUAAAAGUUCUAGGAAAGGAGAUGAACUGCUUAUUCCAUCAGAUGAAAAUAUAGUCAGAACAGAUGAGUAGUAGAACUUAAACAUGCCCGGAGUUGCCAGGAAUUUGCAAAAGCCUUGAUAUAAUUCCUGUUGCUGUAGAAAGACUUUCUACAGUCACUAAUAUAUCAAGUUAUGUUCACUAGAAAAAAAGUUUACUUAGUUUAUAGAAAUGGGCUGAAAAAUCCUAAUUACUUAUCUGUGAGGUUAUUUUCAUGAAGGUUAAUCAUCCAGAAACUAUUAGAGAGCCUCGGAAUAUAUUUCUUCUAAUCUGCUCUACCUAUCCCAUUCAAAGGAGGGAAUCUGAAGAUUUAAGGACAAAGAGCAGUUGAAAACUCAGAGCUGUGGUUAAUGGGAGAAUUUCAAGGAUGGUGAAAAAAACUAACAUCAUUGCAUCCCUGUUUUUUGUAUUCUGGACUUUUUAGUUUAGCUCUUGGUAAACUACAUCAGAAAUUCUUUAUGCUAACUCUAACACACAUUUUGGGGUAUUGCUAAUUUAAUCUUUGAAUACUGUUUUUGCUGUUUCAUGAUUAUAUGUUAUGUCCUACCAGCUAGAUUGCCAACUCUUGACUACUGACUGGAAGUUUAUUGUUUAUUCAGCAAAUAAUGAAUUAAGUCAGUGAAGUGAGAGAUUUCGUGUGUAAGGAUUGUUAACUUGAACAUUUCACCAGUUACACACAGUUCAGCCCUACUUAAAUUUUAAAAAUCAUUGUUGGCACUUGACAUUGUUAUGAGGAGUUUUGUAUUUUCAACUUGUAUUUUGAGAGUGUCCUCAUGUGACUGAAGUAUGUGCUACUCUUCUUAAUUGAAUAACCCCAGAAUCUCCAGAAUUGAUAAUUGGAGGAAAUUCUACUGUUGGAAAGAAUGGAUGGAUUAUACAGCCCUGUUUUUUGACUGUUCAUUUUGUCCUUGGAGUCACUACCACUUGGCCUCAAAGUGUGAACAUGUAACCCUUUCCUUAAUACUUUGCUACACAGCUGAGCAGAAACUGUAAAUUUGGAUCCUUUGUCAGUACAACUUAAAAUGGAACAAUUUCAAUGGCUUAGGGUAAGAUAAGUAUGUAAAGAUACUUUUGUAAUAGAAGAAAAAACAUUGGAUAUUAAAAUCACACAGUAGUACCUGGGUGUGGUGGCUCAUGCCUAUAAUCCCAACGCUUUGGGAGGCCAAGACAGGAGCACUGCUGGAGGCCAGGAAUUUGAGACCAGCCUGGCCAACAUGGUGAAACCUCGUCUCUACCAAAAAAUACAAAAAUCAGCCAGGUGUGGUGGCACAUGCCUGUAAUCCCGGAUACUCGGGAGGCUGAGGUGGGAGAAUCGCUUGAACCAGGGAGGUGGAGGUUGCAGUGAGCUGAAAUCGCAAAACUGCACUCCAACCUGGGCAACAGAGUGAGACCUCCUGUCUCCAAAAAAAAAAAAAAAAAAAAAAAAAAGUGGGUGUGGUUGUGUACACCUCUACUUCCUGCUACUCAGGAGGCUGAGGCUGGAGGAUCUCUUGAGCCCAGGAGUUCAAGUCUGCAGUGAGCUAUAGUUGCACUGCUGCACUCCAGCCUGGGUAGCACAGCGAGACCCCCAUCUCUAAAACAUAAAAGUAAACAGGCUGGGUGCAGUGGCUUACACCUGUAAUCCCAGCACUUUGGGAGGCCGAGGAGGGUGGAUCAUGAGGUCAAGAGUUGAGACCAGCCUGGCCAACGUGGCGAAACCCCAUCUGUACUAAAAAUACAAAAAUUAGCCAGUCGUGGUGCCAGGUGCCUUUAAUCCCAGCUAUUCAGGAGGCUGAGACAGGAGAAUCGCUUGAACCUGGGAGACAGAGGUUGCAGUGAGCCAAGAUCAUGCCAUUGCACUUCAGCCUCGGGGACAAGAACAAGACUGUGUCUCAAAAAAAAAAAAAAAAGUAGAAAACAGAAUAGCAUAAGGAUAAUCUUAUAUACAAAAUAAGACUACUCAAUUUCUGAAUUUUUUUUUUAACUAGAUAUGCCACCUCCUGAUGACAGUGCCCAUUUCGUAACUUGUCUUACUCAGAAACAGCUCUUAGAUAAUUUUACUCUUUAAGUUCAGGUCUGAGCACAGAGGACAAAGAAUUCCCUUGAUUGCCUAUGAAAGAAAGGAUUCUCAACCUUGGCACUAUUGACAUUUUAAGUCAGAUAAUUCUUUGUUGUGGAAGGUUAUCCUGUGCAUUGUAGGAUGUUUAUUUUAUCAGCAUCCCUGGCUUCUACCCAGUAAAUCCCAGUAGCACCCCACCACCAACCAAAACUGUCUCAAAAUGUUGCUAGAUGCCCCUUGGGGACAAAAAUCCUCUCCCUCCCUCCUCCUUGAAUGCCACUGGCACUCCUUGAGCCUACAGAAGGGCUCUUCUCACAAGUUUGAUACCCUGUACCUCCCAGUUGAUAGUGGGAAUUACUUCUCCUUUGAAGACACAAUUCCAGUUACCCUGAGAAGUAUGGCAUUGGCCUUGCUGGCCUCCACCAAAUUACUAUAUCACUGUGUUUGGUAACCCCAGACAUCAUACUAGGGCUUUAAUUUCAGUAUAUAAAUAGUAAAUUAGUAUCCUUGUAUAGGUUAGCUUAAUGAGUUUCAGAAUUCUUCAAGUCAUAUCUUCAUAGGUAGGAUCACUGUGGAGUUAAUGGCAUUUGAACUAUGUACUCAGUACUAUGCUAGUGGUUGGUGCAAGGGGAAGAUACAAAAUAAGGUGUGAUUUUAGCCCAUGAGGAAUUUAUACUUUAUCUGCAGAAGCAAAUUAAUAUGGAACCGUUAGUGAACACCUGGAUAAAACAGAAUGCUAAAUUUUACCCUAGAGGUGCUUGGCCUGGACUUCAAGAAUUCUAAGUGAAUUGAAGUAUGUUCACAGUAAGAAAGGUUAAAAAUGGCUCUGCCCACUUGUAGGCAGAUGGGAAGCUAGGAUGGCAGACUUGCCAAUAUUUGAUAUAUGUAAAAAGUGCAAUCAUGGCCUCUGUUGUUUCCUCUUUUAUCUCGUUCUCUUUAUUAGUCCAGGUUCUCUAGAGGAAUAGAACUAAUAGGAGAUAUAUAUAUAUAUAUAUAUGGAGUUUAUUAAGUAGUAUUAACUCACAUGAUCACAAGGUCCCAGAAUAGGCCAUAUGCAAGCUGAGGAGAAAGGAAGGCAGUCGAGUUUCAAAGCUGAAGAACAUGGAGUCCAAUGUUUGAGGACGGGAAGCAUCCAACAUGGGAGAAAGCUGUAGGCUGGGAGGCUAAGCCAGUCUAGUCUUUUCAUGUUUUUCUGCCUGCUUUAUAUUCUGGUCGUGCUGGCAGCUGAUUAGAUGGUGCCCGCCCAGAUUAAGGGUGGGUCUGCCUUUCCCAGCCCACUAACUCAAAUGUUAAUCUCCUUUGGUAACACUCUCACAGACACAUUCAGGAUCGAUACUUUGCAUCCUUUAAUCCAAUCAAGUUGACUGUAUUAACCAUCACAAGUCCACCACUUGUCAACUUAAACACAUACAUAUCUCCUGAGAUCAUUCAUAAUCUUCAAAUAAAGACAAUAAUAAUGUCAUAAUUACACCUAAUACAACUAUCCUUUGUACAGCUGGAAACACACCAGUCCCCAACCCAAAUGCUAUUACAUAAAGUUAACAAUACUUAAAUGCUGAUAUGAAGUAAAUCUUAAUGUCCCAUGAUAAAAGGAGGCUGGGCGCAGUGGCUCACGCCUGUAAUCCCAGCACUUUGGGAGGCCGAGAUGAGUAAUGGCUUUUGACAGUAAUAGAGGGUCUCAACCUGAUUUUUCUUAAGUUUGCAUAAGGCUUAGGAGAGGAUAAAAUAAGGCAGGAUCUAGAGAUUGGUGAGGAGAAACGGAAGUCCUCAUUCUUGACAGCUCUCAGCACAUGCAGCCCUCCCCACACACACAGUCACACUCACACACACUCACAACCAGAUUCACAUUCCUACCCAUGCACACACUAACACACACUUGUGCACUUAAACUCGUGCACUUACACAUUCACAUUCAUAUACUCACAUGCACACAUUCAAAACACACACAUACUCUACAAACACUCAUGUUGCAAAAGGGGAUUUGUAAGCUGAAUGUUUAGAACUCAGAACACAUAUUUUCACAAAAAUAAUAUUAUGGUCGGGCGCUGUGGCUCACGCCUGUAAUCCUAGCACUUUGGGAGGCUCAGCUGGGCGGAUCACUUGAGAUCAGGAGUUCAGGACCAGCCUGGCCAACAUACUAAAAAUACAGAAAUUAGCCAGGCAUGGUGGUGCAUGCCUGUAAUCCCAGCUACUCGGGAGGCUGAGGCAGGAGAAUCACUUGAACCCAGGAGGCAAAGGUUGCAGUGAGCCGAGAUCCUGCCACUGCACUCCAGACUGGGCAACAAGAGCAAGGCUCCAUCUCAAAAAAAAAGGAAAUAAAAUGAAGAUAUUUUCUUAGUACAAGUGUAUAUAUGCACAAACAUGUUUUUAACAAAAGGAGGAAAUACUCAGGACAAUUACAAUCCUCAUUUCUGCAACUGUUCACUUGGUUGUAGCUGGUAUGGAUGACUAGCCUUCUACUACCCAUUCUGUAUUCCCUUUGCCUUCAGCAAGCACCUCAGCAGGUCGUGGUUUUUUUCCUGGUGGCGUAACCCAAACCUUCAUUUCUGAAGGGUCUGGACCAUUUGUAGUCCUUUCUGGACUGGGCUUUUAUAGUUUCCCAUUGACUUCAACCACAGGGCAUGGUAAUACUAAGAGACACCUUAAUAGAUCUCUGUAUUCCAUGCAUACUCUUCCUUACCUCAGUUGUGGAAUAGUAGACUGAUUUCAUCUUGAUGGUCCAGGUCAAUCACCCCAGCCAACACUGUAACUCCCUUCUUAGACUGUUGACUUAAAAGUAGUAGACUGGGCCGGGCGCGGUGGCUCACACCUGUAAUCCCAGCACUUUGGGAGGCCGAGGCGGGCAGAUCACGAGGUCAGGAGAUCGAGACCAUCCCAGCUAAAAACGGUGAAACCCCGUCUCUACUAAAAAUACAAAAAAUUAGCCGGGCGUAGUGGCGGGCGCCUGUAGUCCCAGCUACUUGGGAGGCUGAGGCAGGAGAAUGGCGUGAACCCGGGAGGCGGAGCUUGCAGUGAGCCGAGAUCCCACCACUGCACUCCAGCCUGGGCGACAGAGCGAGACUCUGUCUCAAAAAAAAAAAAAAAAAAAAAAAAAAGUAGUAGACUGAUUUCAUCUUGAUAGUCCGGGUCAGUCACCCCAGCCAACACUGUAACUCCCUUCUUAGACUGUUGACUUAAAGGUAGGAGGAGCCCCAAGUGUCCAGGUGACAAUCUUAACUUCCUGUUUAAUGGAAUUGCUGUUGUGUCUCCUGGUGGCAGUGUUCCUCCCUUUGAAACUAAGACCUCUAAGCCAGCAGAACGUAAUGUCAUGGGAACAGGAAGCAAAACUUUUGCUAGUGACUCUCUAAGGGUGAUGAUGAGUGGUGCCACUUCCACCCCUUGAUUCCUGGACCUGUGAAUCCUGGCUAUGAGAGAAAUAGUAUCAUAUAUUGGACGCUGAUUCAGGGUAUACAUGGCCUUCUGGAGAACUUUGCCCCAGGCCUGCAAAGUGUUGUCACCUGGUUGAUGUUGUAAUUGUGACUUCAAAAGGCCAUUCCGUUCUAUCAUUCCAGCUGCUUCAGGAUGACGGGGGAACAUGGUAAGACCAGUGAAUUCCAUGAGCAUGAGCCCACUGUCACACUUCUUUAGCCAUAAAGUGAGUGCCUUGGUCAGAGGCAAUGCUGUGUGGAAUACCAUGACAGUGGAUAAGACAUUCUGUGAGUCCACAGAUAGUAGUCUUGGCAGAAGCAUUGCAUGCAGGAUAGGCAAACCGAUAUCUGGAAUAAGUGUUUAUUCCAGUGAGGACAAACCUCUACCCUUUACAUGAUAAAAGAGGUCCAAUAUCAUCAACAUGCCAUCGGGUAGCUGGCUGGUUACCCCAAGGAAUGGUGCCAUUUCGAGGGCUCAGUGUUGGUCUCUGCUGCUGGCAAAUUGGGCACUCUGCAGUGGCCGUAGCCAGGUCAGCCUUGGUGGGUGGAAGUCCAUGUUCCCGAGCCCAUAUGUAACCUCCAUCCCUGCCACCAUGGCCACUUUGUUCGUGGGCCCAUUGGGCAAUGACAGGCGUAACUGGGGAAAGAGGCUGAGUAUGCACAGAAGGGCUCAUCCUAUUCACUUGAUUAUUAAAAUCCUUCUCUGCUGAGAUCACCCAUUGGUGAGCACUCACAUGGGAUACAAAUAUCUUCACAGUUUUUGACCACUCAGAGAGAUACAUCCACAUAUCUCUUUCCCAGAUUUCUUUGUCACCAAUUUUCCAAUUAUGCUUCUUCCAUGUCCCUGACCAUCCAGCCAAACCAUUAGCUACAGCCCAUGAAUAAGUAUAUAAUCGCACAUCUGGCCAUUUCUCCUUCCAUACAAAGUGCACAACUAGGUGUACUGCUUAAAGUUCUGCCCACUGGGAAGAUUUCCUUUCACUGCUGUCCUUCAGGGAUGUCCUAGAAAGGGGCUGUAGUGCUACAGCUGUCCACUUUUGGGUAGUGCCUACAUAUCGUGCAGAAUCAUCCGUGAACCGGGCCCUAGUCUUUUCUUCCUCUGUCAGCUGAUCAUAGGGAACUCCCCAUGAGGCCAUCGGUGCAGGCUCGGGAGAUAAGUCAGGGUGGCAGGAGUGGAGACCGUGGGCAUUUGAGCCACUUCCUCAUGUAACUUAUUUGUGCCUUCAGGACCUGCUCGAGCCUGAUCACGUAUAUACCACUUCCAUUUGAUGAUGGAAUGCUGCUGUGCAUGACCCACUUUACGGCUAGAUGGGUCAGAAGGCACCCAGUUAAUGAUAGUCAGUUCAGGUUGAAUGGUGACUUGAUGACACAUAGUCAAACGUUCCGUUUCCGCCAAAGCCCAGUAACAGGCCAAAAGCUGUCUCUCAGAAGGAGAAUAGUUAUCUGCAGAAGAUGUCAGGGCCUUGCUCCAAAAUCCUAGAGGCCUCUACUGUGAUUCACCUAUGGGGGACUGCCAAAGGCUCCAAACAGCAUCCCUUGAGGUGUCACUGACACCUCAAGCACCAUUGGAUCUGCUGGGUCAUAUGGCCCAAGUGGCAGAGCAGCUUGCACAGCAGUCUGGACAUGUUGUAGAGCCUUCUCCUGGACCCCAGUCAAAACUGGCAGCCUUUCGGGUCACUCAGUAAAUGGGCCAGAGUAACACACCGAAAUGAGGAAUGUGUUGCCUCCAAAAUCCAAAUGGGCCCACUAGGCGUUGUUCCUCUUUCUUGGUAUAGGAGGGGCCAAAUGCAGCAACUUAUCCUUCACUUUAGAAGGAACAUCUCGACAGGACCCACACUACUGGACCCCUAGAAAUUUUACUGAGGUAGAAGGUCCCUGAAUUUUAGUCAGAUUUAUUUUCCAUCUUCUGUGUCACCAGUAAGUCCAGUGUAUUUGCUACUUCUUGCUCACUGGAUCCGAUCAGCAUAAUGUCAUCAAUGUAAUGGACCAGUGUGAUACCUUGUGGAAGCAAAAAGAGAUCAAGUUCUCUCCAAAUAAGAUUAUGACACAGCCAGAGAGUUGAUAUACCACAGAGGUAGUACAGUAAAGGUAUAUUGCUGGCCUUGCCAGCUGAAGGCAGAUUGCUUCUGGUGGGCCUUAUGGACAGGAAUGGAGAAAAAGGCAUUUGCCAAGUCAAUGGCUACAUACCACGUACCAGGAGAUGUGUUAAUUUGCUCAAGCAGUGAAACCGCAUCUGAUACAGCAGCCACAAUUGGAGUCACCACUUGGUUAAGCUUACAUAAUUGACUGUCAUUCUCCAAGAUCCAUCUGUCUUUUGCAGAGGCCAAAUGGGAGAGUUGAACAGGGAUGUGGUGGGAAUCACCACCCCUGUGUCUUUCAAGUCCUUGAUGGUGGCACUAAUUUCCGCAACCCCUCCAGGGAUGUGAUACUGUUUUUUAUUUACUAUUUUUCUAGGUAGAGGCAGCUCUAAUGGCUUCCAUUUGGCUUUUUCCACCAUAAUAGCCCUUACUCUACCAGUCAGGGAGCCAAUGUGGGGGUUCUGCCAGCUGCUAAGUAUGCCUGUGCCAAUUAUGCAUUCUGGCACUGGGAAAAUGACCACAGGAUGAGUCCAGGGACCCACUGGACACACUGUCAGUUGGACCUGAGCUAAAACUUCAUUAAUUACUUGAACUUUAUAAGCUCCUAUGUUAACUAGAGGACCACAGUGACAUUUUGGGUCCCCUAGAAUCAACGUCAGCUCAGAGCCAGUGUCCAGUAGUCCCUGAAAUGUCAGAUCAUUUCCCUUUCCCCAGUGCACAGUUUUACCCUGGUAAAAGGCUAGAGAUCUUCUUGGGGGAGAAUGAGAGAAAGAUUAACAGCAUAAAUUGUCGGUAAUAUAGCGGGGUCCUUCCUCAAGGGGACUGGCCUCCCCUUCAUUCAAGGGGUUUUGGGUCUAUUUCCUGGACCCUCCCAGCUGGGAUGAGUAGGUCUAAAGUGGCUAAUCCACUCCACCAUCCCAAUAUCCUUAAGCCUUUGGAUCCCUUCCUCUACAUUAAAUUGAGAGAGAUCAGGCAUUUCCAGCUCGCUCAUAGUGGGCCAUUUUUUAAUCCAUAUUUCAGCUAACCAAGCAAAUAAACUAUUAGAACCUUUUUUAACUCCCCGAGCUGCAACAUUAAAUGCAGAAUCCCCACUUAGUGGGCCCAAAUCAAUAAAUUCAGCCUGAUCCAACUCUGUGUUCCUUCCACCAUUGUCCCACACCCUUAAUAUCCAUUCCCAUGCCUGUUCUCCAGAUUUCUGCUUAUAUAAAUUAUAAAACUCAAGCAGUUAUUUUCGAGUAUAGUGCACCUCCUCAUGGGUCACACUCUGAACCUCACCUCUAGGGGCCUGCCGGGACUUUAGUCUUGUUAUAGAUCCAGAAGCAAACAAGGGUAUUGGGGGUGGCUCCUGAGGAGAAUCAACGUUAUCUUGCCUGGCAGCUGCCUCAGGGGAGGCCAUCACUGUUGCCUCAGGCAGUGUAGGGUUUAUCUCCUCCGACAAAGGUAGAAAGGCUGAUGACAGUGUGGGUCAGGGAGGGGAUGUUGCCGCUACUUGCUACCCGGGAUGGGGAAGCUGUUUCUUUUGGCAAAAAAAGUUCAUCAGCGUUUACAAGCUCAGUGUCCCCAUUCCAACUUACAGUGUCCCAUUCUUUUCCAAUCAAUGCCCUCACUUUAACAGUAGACACCUGGCAAGGCUGUGCAUGCACCUUUUGUUGCAGGUCAGCCACUUGCCUAAUAAGAGCUUGUGUCUGUUUUUCCACAAUUUCAGUUCUUUCUCUACAGGAGAUAAGACUCUCACUUAGGACAGUCUUAGAUUUGAGGCUCAGUAUCUGCUUCUGGAGCGAGGAGUUAGAAUCCCUUUGGAUUCACUUUGUCCAGUGAACUUAGGAACAACCAACCAACUUAAUUAUGUUCCUUUGUUCUCCACAUAGAGUCAAAGGUAUUAUGUAUAGAGUCACUAAACUCCUUGCCUCUCACAAGUGGUGAAUCAGGAGUGUCAAACGCAUUUAUUUUUCAUAACUCUCUAAAAAGUUCAUGCCAGGCCGGGCGCGGUGGCUCAAGCCUGUAAUCGCAGCACUUUGGGAGGCCGAGGCAGGCGGAUCACAAGGUCAGGAGAUCGAGACCAUCCUGGCUAACAUGGUGAAACCCCAUCUCUGCUAAAAAUACAAAAAAUUAGCCGGGCAUGGUGGUGGGUGCCUGUGGUCCCAGCUACUCGGGAGGCUGAGGCAGGAGAAUGGCGUGAACCCGGGAGGCAGAGCUUGCGGUGAGCCAAGACUGCGCCACUGCACUCCAGCCUGGGUGACAGAGCAAGACUCCGUCUCAAAAAAAAAAAAAGUUCAUGCCAGCGACUAUCAGUGUUCUCCAUACUAUUAGAGUCCUUAGCAUUUUGGGGUCUAAUCAUAUUAAGCAGCCAACUUCAGAAACCCCAAAACCAACAAAAGAACUCCAUCCUUAAUAUUCUGUUCCUGUAGAAUCACUCCUGGUACCAAAAUCUGUAUUAGGUUUCUCUAGAGGGAAAGAACUAAUGGAAUAGAUAUAUAUAUUUAUAUAUAAAGGAGAGUUUAUUAAGUAGUUUUAACUCACACCAUCACAAGGUCCCACAAUAGGCCAUCUGCAAGCUGCAAGAAAGGAAGCCAGUCCGAGUUCCUGAAGAACUUGGAGUCUGAUGUUUGAGGACAGGAAGCAUCCAGCAUAGGAGAAAGGUAUAGGCUGGGAGGCUAAGCCAGUCUAAUCUUUUCACGUUUUUUCUGCCUGCUUUAUAUUCUGAUCAUGCUGGCAGCUGAUUAGAUGGUGCCCACCCAGAUUAAGGGUGGGUCUGCCUUUCCCAGCCCACUGACUCAAAUGUUAAACUCCUUUGGCAACACCCUCACAGACACACACAGGAUCAAUACUUUGCAUCCUUCAAUACAAUCAAGUUGACACUCACUAUUAACCAUCACAUUCUCUUUCUCCUCACCUUUAAAUUGUUUGAUUAUAUACCAUUCUUUGUAUUUGAAACCUCAGCAGGGAAGUAAUAGACAAUUUUUAAAAGAACCUAAGUAGUAAUACAAGAUUUAACAGCUAUAUUAAACUUUAUAACUUGCAGAUAGAGAAGUUGCCUUUAAUGACCAGGAAACAUUUAUAAAAAUUGAUUUUUAAAAUUACACCCAAAAAAUCUCAAUUUUAAGUUACACACUCUGUUAACAGCACUAAAAAUAAUUUUUUAGAUAAAAAGAUAAAAGGAAAUUCAUCUAAUUGGAAGCUAAAGGGAAAAAUGCCUUAAAUCUGGGUCAAGGAGAAAAUCGCAACCGUGAUUGCAGAUUUAUAAACUAUUUAGAAAUUAAUCACAAUGAGAACAAAAAAAAUAGAAACAUGAGAGUUCAGCCAAAGUAGUAUAUAAAGUCACAAUAUUAGAUGUUUAAUAUUAAUCAAUAUAGAAUGAAUGAAAAUGAAACAAAUAGGAGAGGAUUCUAGGAAAAUGGCAGAAUAGGAAGCACCAGAAAUCUGUCUCCUCACCUAGACAAAAAUUACACUGGCAGAGUCUGUCUUAUGUACAGACAAUCCCUGAUUUACGACGGUUUCACUUAUGAUUUUUCAACUUUACAAUAGUCCAAAAAUGUUAUAGAUUUUAGUACGCUUCUCGACUUACAGUGAGGUUAUGUCCCAGAUAAACCCGUUGUAAGUUAAAAAUAAUAUGUCAAAAGUGUGUUUUUGACUUAAGAUAUUUUCAGCUUGUGAUGGAUUUAUCUGGGAUAUAAUUCCGUCAUAAAUCAAGGAACCAUCUGUAUUUUAGAACUGUAGAAUUUAUUGAAACUUGCAGCUUCCAGAGGAAGACUUGGACAGUACAUUGUGGUUAAAUUUUGUCAAUUUCUUUAAAAAAAAAUUAGUGUAAUAGACACUGUCAUAGCCUGAGUCCCUUAGAAAAUAAAGCCUAAGGCAAAAUAUAUAUGCUAAUGCUUUGAAGAGGAUUGCAGAAAUGUCUCCAGUUCUCUGUUCCUCCCUAUAUUCAUUCAUUUGCAAUGUGUCUCUGUAACUCCCCUCAUUAAAGAGUGGAAUCUAUUUCCUCAACCCUGGAAUCUGAGCUAGCCGUGUUAUGAAGUUUUGCCCAAUGGAAUGUGGUGAAAGUGAUCAUGUAGUUGUUUUAAGCGUAACCUUUAAGAAGUCUUGCAUGCUUCCACUUGCUUUUCUGGGAUCCUGCUCAGCUGCUAUAGAACAAACCUGGGCUAGCCUACUGGGAGAUGAGAUUAUGUGGAGCAGCAGUGAGCCAUCUGUCUUAGAAUAGCCGACACUUAGCCAACCUAGCAACUGGGGGAAAAUAUGCGGGAAUGAGUCCAACAGAGACCAGAAGAAUUGCCCAGCGGAGCCCAGCCCAAAUAGCCAAUCUAUAGCAUUGUGACCCAAAUAAAUGCAUGUUGUUUUAAGACCAAAAAAAGGAAAAGAGAGGUGGGGUGCAGUGGCUCAUGCCUGUAAUCCUAGCACUUUGGGAGGUUGAGGUGGAUGGGUCACCUGAGGUCAGGAGUUCAAGACCAGCAUGGCCAACAUGGCAAAAUCCGUCUCUACGAAAAAUAUAAAAUUAGCCAGGCGUGGUGGUGAAUGCCUGUAGUCCCAGCUACUCUGGAGGCUGAGGCAGGAGAACCACUUGAAUCUGGGAGACGGAGGUUGCAGUGAGCCAAGAUCACCUCACUGCACUCCAGCCUAGGUAACAGAGCGAGACUCUGUCUCAAAAAAAAAAAAAAAUUGGUCAAUUUCCAGUCUUGGCACAGCAGCAGCUAACCAUCUCCUACCACUGAAUCUCAUGGCACGCAGCUGUGCACAUGUUCCUAGAGUGGUUUGCACACAGCUUGUAGGAGCUAGGGGGGCAAAAAGUACAUUGUCCUCAAAACGUUAGAUCUGUGCUCUGAUUCCUAACUGCCACUCGUGAUCACAGAGGUGCAGAGAGUCAUUAGCCAUUGUUGCACUUCCAUUGUUGCAAGCCCCUCACCUUCUGGUUGAAGUGACUUCCAGGAGAAUUAAAGAGCUGGUGUUUCCCUCCCCACUCCCAUUCAUUUUUCUCAUUUUCCCCUUUUGGGAGCCAGACAUAAACACAAUUGCAUAUAUGAGAGAAAUCAGAAAGUCAUGGCACAGCCUAGGGGAUGGUGCAGGCUCAGAAAAGACCUCUGAGAAGACCUUAGAUUUAUACUUCAGACUCAUCUUAGGCAAAGAGGGCUUACAACAAUCAAAAAAACAAAAAUAAUAAAAACAGUAACAAAAACAGCAAACCCUGGAGAAGAGGAAGAAUCUGAUUUCCAGAGUUAACACAUUAGUAAAUUCUAAUGUCUGGUUUUCAACAAAAAUAUCACAAAGGAUACAGAGAAACAGGAAAGUGUAACCCAUUCAAAUGAAACCUAAAGAGACUCAAAAAACAAAAGGAAUUUAAAGUCAAGAAAAUUAUUUAUGAACAAAAUGGAAAUAUCAAAAACAGAUAGAAAACCUAAAAGAAACCAAAAAGAAAUUCUGGAGCUAAAAAGUACAAUAACUGAAAUUAAAAAUUCACAAGAGGGAUUCAAAGGCACAUUGAACAGUUAGAAGAAAGAGUCAGAAAACUUGAAGAGAGGAUAAUGGAAAUUAUUGAGUCUGAGGAACAGAAAGAAAAGAGAUUGAAGAAAUGUGAAAGCAGUCUAAGGAACCUGUGCGAUACCUCAACCAGAUCAGCAUACACAUUGUGAUAACUACAGAAGGAGAAGAGAGAGAAAAGGCUGGUGAGAAUAUUUGAAGAAAUGAUGACCAACAGCUUCCCAUAUUUGAUGAAAAACAUGAAUAUGAAUAUCUAAGAAGUUCAAUAAACCAAGUAGGAUGAACUCAAAGAAACACAUACUGAGAUACAUUAUAAUCAAACUAUCAGAAGAGAAUUUUGAAAGCAGCAAAAGAGAAAUGACUCUUCGCAUACAAAUGAUCCUCAAUAAGAUUAUCAGCAGAUUUCUUAUCAAAAACUUUGGAAGCCAGAAGACAAUGAGCUAAUAUAGUCAAAGUGGUAAAAGAAAAAAUUUAGUCUAUCAAUCAAGAAUUCCAUAUCUGGCCAGGCACAGUGGCUCACGCCUGUAAUCCCAGCACUUUGGGAGGCCGAGGCGGGCGGAUCACGAGGUCAGGAGAUCCAAACCAUCAUGGUUAACACAGUGAAACCCCAUCUCUACUAAAAAUACAAAAAAUUAGCUGUGCGUGGUAGUGGGUGCCUGUAGUCCCAGCUACUCCAGGAGAAUGGCAUGAAUCCAGGAGGCGGAGCUUGCAGUGAGCUAAGAUUGCGCCACUGCCCCCCAGCCUGGGCAACAGUACGAAACUCUGUGUCAAAAAAAAAAUAAAAGAAUCCCAUACCUGGCAAAAACUGUCCUUCGAAAUUGAAGUAGAAGAUAAGACUUUCCAGAUAAACAAAAGUUGAGGGAGUUCAUUACCACUAGACCUGCCCUACAAGAAAUGCUAAAUGAAGUCCUGCAAGUUGAAAGGACACUAGACAGUAACUGAACUUGUAUAAAGAAAUAAAGAUAAGUAAAGGUAAAUACAUGGGAAAUUAUAAAAGCUAGUAUUAUUGUAACAAUGGUAUGUAACUCCACUUUUUGUUUACAACAUGACUUGAGACCAAUACAUUAACAAAAACCAAUGAUUAGGCCAAAAGCUAGUGUUAUUGUAACUUUGCUUUUGUUGGGAAAACUCCCUGCCAGGACUGAGAAUUGCCCUCUACAAGUGGAGGCAAAUUACUGAUUUGCCAUCAGACCAAAAAAAAAAGGCAGAUGAUUCCGGGUUGGCAGGUAGUCAAAGAUUUAUCCAGGGGAAAUUUAUAAGGCAGCCUUGGGCAGCAGCAAGACAAGGUAGAUUUCAGUGCUUAUAGUACAUGCCUAUCUAGUCUUUUAUAUCAUGAAGAGGGAAUGGAAGGGGCGGGGGAAGUCACUGAUGGUGUGUUAAGCCGUCUGGUUGUUUUCUUAAUCUGUUUACUCUUUGCUUACAGGAACUGUUUGGGUUUUGUAGAGUCUGGUCAACAUUCCUAAGGAGAGGAGGGAUGUUGCAGACAGCAGCAGUUAUUUUAGCACUGGUAUGCAUUUUUAGGUCACUGCAUGCUACAAUGCACUUUGUGGUCACAUACCCAGAAAACAUUUUCACAACAGGUAACUCCACAUCUUGUUUUCUACUUAAUUUAAGGGACUAAUAGAUUUAGUUUGUUUUGGACACAUGUUAUAUAGAGAUGUAAUUAUGUGAUAUCAACAGCUGAAAGGGGUGGGGGACAGGGCAGUUAAGGAGCAGUUUUUGUAUCUUUUUCAAAUUAAGCUGCUAUAAAUUUAUGUUAGAAGCUUCCUUAUUUAGGAUGUCAAAUGUAAUCCCAUGAUAACACAAAGAAAAUAGCUAAAAGAAGAUAAGAAAGGAAGUUAAAAGUUUCAUUACAAAAAUCAACUAAACAUGAAAGAAGACAGAUAAGAAAUGAGGAACCAAAAAAAGCUGCAAUAUAUAUAGAAAAUAGCAAAAUGACAGAAUUCCCUCAUCAGUAAUUAUUUUAAAUGUAAAUGGGUUAAACUUCAGUGAAAAGACAGAGAUUAGAAGAAUGGGUUUUAAAAAACCAUGAUUCAAGACUCCUGUGCCACAUAACAUUUCAGUCAAUGAUGGAAUGCACAUAGGAUGGUAAUACAAUGGUAAGAUUAUAAUAACGUAUUUUUACUAUAUAUUUUCUAUGUUUAGAUAUACAAACACCAUUGGGUUAUAGUUACCUACAGUAUUUAGUAUGGUAACAUGCCGUAACAGCUUUGUAGCCUAGGAGCAAUAGGCUAUACCAUACCAUCUAGGUUUGUGUAAGUACCUUCUGUGAUAUUUACAUGAUGAUGAAAUUGCAUAACAAUGCAUUUCUAAGAACAUAUACCCAUACAUAAAUGAUACAUGACUGUAUAUGCUGUCUGUAAGAGACUUAAGAUCCAAAGACAAAAACAGGUUAAAAGUGAAAGAAUGGGAAAGGAUAUUCCAUGAAACUAAUUACCAAAUAUUAAGGAUGGCGAUACUAGUAUACAACAAAAUACACUUCAAAGCAAAAAAGAUUACUAAAGACAAAGAAGGACAUUAUAUACUAAAAAACGGUUCAGGAUGAGCACGUUGGCUCAGGCAUGUAAUCGCAGCACUUUGGGAGACCAAGGUAUGAGGGUGCCUUGAGACCAGGAGUUGGAGACAGCCUGGGCAACACAGUGAAACGCUGUCUCUACAGAAAAUUAAAAAAUUAGCUGAGCAUGGUAGCAUGUGCCUGUAGUCUCAGCUACUCAGGAGGCUGAGGCAGAAGGAUAGCUUGAGCCAAAGCACUGGAGGCUGCAGUGAGCUAUGAUCACACCACUGCACUUCAGCCUGGGCGACAGAGCAUGAUCCUGUCUUAAAAAAAUAAAAAACAUAAAAGGUUCAAUACAGCAAGAAGGUUUAACAGUUGUAAACAUGUAUGCUCCUAAUGACAAACCAUCAACAUAUAUGAAACAAAAAUUGACGUAAUUGAAGGGAGAAGUACAAUUCUACAUUAAUAGUUGGAGACUUUAAUAUCCCAAUCUCAGUAGUGGAUAGAACCAUCAAAAUCUAAGCAAGGAAAUAUAGGACUUUCACAACACAAUAAACCAACUAGAUCUAACAACCAUAUACAGAACACUCUACCCAACAAUGAAAUACACAUUCUUCUCAAGUAUACAUAGGAUAAAUUCCAAGAUAGGUCAUAAAUUAAGUCUGAAUUGAUUUUAAAAGACAGCAAAAUAUCUUCCCUGACCACAAUGGGAUGAACUUAGAAAUCAAAAACAAAAAGAAAACUGGAAAAUUUAAAAAUCAUAGAAAUUAACACACUCUUAACCAUUAGAUCAAAAAAGAAACCACCCGGCAUUGGUUGAAAAUCACCCCCCGGCUUUGGCCAUGGCAGCGGGUGAGAUUCGGCGCCCAGAGCCUCCAGGGGCCUCAGCUCACCGCACGCUGACACAUGUGCGGCGGUGAAACCCAGCCCCAACAGGCCCCGCGGCCUCUCCCUGGGUGCGGCCGCUCGCGUGGUCUGGCUCCUGACCCAGGCUGCCGACCCCUAACCCUGUUUUCUCUCCACAGGACACUGGUCUUCCCACACGUGAGACCGAUGUCGCCAGGACCACGGGGUCGGGGGGACUCGGCUGUCCUCCGUCUUUCAAAUAAAGCUGUUUGUCUAAAAAAAAAAAAAAAAAAAGAAACCACAAGACAAAUAAUAAAAUACUUAUAAAGACAAGUGAAAAUGAAAACACAGCAUACCAAAACUUAUGAGACACAACAAAAGCAGUGCCAAGGGGGAAGUUUCUAGCUAUAAAUUCUUACAUUAAAAAAUAAGAGUCUGGUCUGAAGAAAGCAAAAUUAAAAAUUAUUUAAAAAAUAAGAAAAAUAUCAAAUCACCAACCGGACUUUCCAAUUUAAGGAACUGAAAAGGAAGAGCAAACUAAACCCAGAGCUAGCAGUAGAAAGGAAGUAGUAAAGAUUAGAAUAGAUAUAAAUGAAAUAGAGACUAGAAAAAUAAUAUAGAAAAAUCAAAAUGAAACCAAAAGUUGGUUAUUCAAAAAUCAAAAAACUUUGCAAAUCUCUAGCUAGAUCUACUUAUAACAAAGGAGACAAGUCAGAAAUGAAAAUGAAGACAUUACUACCAUUUCUACAGAAAUGAAAAGAGUUAUAGGGGAAUACUGUCAGCAAUUGUCUGCCAAGAAAUUGGAUAACCCAAGUGAAAUGGAGAAAUUCCUAGAAACACUAAACCUACCAGGCUAAACCAUGAAGAAAUAAAAAAUAUGAGUAGAUUUGUAACUACUAAAGAGAUUCAAUCAGUAAUCAAACAUCUCCUGUCAAAGAAAAGCCCUAAACCUGAUGGCUUCACUGAUUAAUUCUACCAAGCAUUUAAAGAAGAACUGUAUCAAUCAUUUCAGACUUCCCAAAAAUUGAAGAUGAGGGCAUACCCUUAACACGUUCUAUGAGGCCAGCAUUAACCUAAUACCAAAGCCAGUAAAGGUACUACAGGAAAACUACAGACCAGUAUCCCUUAUGAAGACUGAUGCAAAAAUCCUCAGAAAGGUACUUGCAAACAGAAUUCAGCAGUAUAGUUAAAGGAUUAUACAGUUUAAGUCAUCACUUAAUGUUGAUAGGUACUUGGAAACUGUGACUUUAAGCAAAUGAUACAUCAGGAAGCCAGUUUUGCCAUAGGCUUGCCAGGCACACUGCCUCACACCUGUAAUCCCAGCACUUUGGGAGGCUGAGAUGGGAGGUUCACUUGAGCUCAGGAGUUCAAGACCAGCCUGGGCAAUAGAGUGAGCCUCGUCUCUACCAAAAACAAAAAAAAAAGCCUGUAGUCCUAGCUACUUGGGAGGCUGAGGUGGAAGGAUCACUUGAAUCCGGGAGGUAGAGAUUACGGUGAGCUGAGGUUGAGCCAUUGUGCUCUAGCCUAGCCAACAGAGGAAGACUCUGUCUCAAAAAAAAAAAAAAAGGCUAAUUUAUAUAAACAAGAAUUAAGUUCCUACAGAUGUUUUAUAAACAUCAUCAAAGUUCUAAAGAAAGACCCAAAACAUCUCCAGUUUUAAACAUUGAAAUAAAUGCAAGCUACAUGUACAUUUAAAAAAAGAUUAAUAGAAACAAGUAAAAUAUUUACCUAAUCUCUGGCAAAUCUAUGAGUGACAAGUGGUUGUAGUAAUGGUGAGUUAAAUCAAAGAGUAAAUGCUUGCAAAGAGAAAAUUGUAAAGAGCACACAGUUCAUAAACAAUAACAGGUCAUGCCUAUAAUCCCAGUACUUUUGGGAGGCUGAGGCCAGAGGAUCCCUUAAGCCCAGGACAUUGAGACCAGCUUGGGCAACAUAGUAAGACAUCAUCUCUACAAAAAAAUUAAAAACACAAAUGAGCUGAGCACGAUGGUGCACACAUGUAGUCCCAGCUACUCAGGAGGCUGCGGUGGGAGAACCACUUGAGUCCCAGAGGUCAAGGCUGCAGUGAGCCAUUUUUGUGUCACUGCACUCCAACCGGGGUGCGAGUCUGUCUAAAAAAACAACAACAACAACAACAAAAUGGAGGAGGCAGAGCAAGACAGCUAAAUAGAAGCCUCCACCAAUUGUGGAGGUGUCUCCUGACAGGGACACCAAAUUUAACCACUAUCUAUAUUAAAAAGCACCUUCAUAAGAACCAAAAAUCAGGUGAGCACUCAUAGUACCUGGUUUUAACUUCAUAUGACUGAAAGAGACACUGAGGAGGGUAGGAAAGACAGUCUUAAAUUGCUAACACCUCCCCUUCCCCAGCCCCCAGCAGUGGCCACGUGGCACACAGAGAGACUCUACAGUUGAAGGAGGGAGAUCGCAGUGAUUGUGGGACUGUGUUGGAAUUUAGUGCUCCCAUGUUGCAGUUGAGAGCAACACUGGGCAGAACUCAGCCAGCAUCCUCAGAGGGAGCAUUUAGACCAGCCCUAGCCAGAGGGAAUUUGCCCAUCCCAGAGGUCAGAACAUGAGUUUCAGCAAGCUUUGCCACCAUGGGCUAACAUGCCCUACAGUCCUAAAUAAACCUGAAAGACGGUCUAGGCCACAAGGACUGCAUCUCCUAGAAAGUUCUUUUUUUUUUUUUUUUUUGGAGACAGAGUCUGGCUCUGUCACCCAGGCUGGAGUGCAGUGGCGCAAUCUUGGCUCACUGCAACCUCCGCCUCCCAGGUUCAAGCAAUUCUCUGCCUCAGCCUCCCGAGUAGCUGGGAUUACAAGUGCCCACCACCAUGCCCAGCUAAUAUUUGUAUUUUUAGUAGAGAUGGGAUUUCACCAUCUUGGCCAGGCUGGUCUUGAACUCCUGACCUCAUGAUCCACCUGCCUCGGCCUCCCAAAGUGCUCGGAUUACAGGCCUGAGCCACCGCACCUGGCCUAGAAAGUUCUAAUGCUGUGCUGGGCUCGUAACUAGUGGACUUGGGGGACACGUGAGCUAGUGAGACACCAGCCCAAACUUAAAAAACAUAUCAAUAUUCAGGCUGGGCACAGUGGCUUAUGCCUGUAAUCCCAGCACUUUGGGAGGCCAAGGCGGGCAGAUUGCCUGAGCUCAGGAGUUCAAGACCAACCUGGCCAACAUGGUGAAACCUCGUCUCUACUAAAAAUACAAAAAUUAGCCAGGUGUGAUUGUGCACACCUGUAAUCCCAGCUAUUCGGGAGGCUGAUACAGGAGAAUCGCUUAAACCCGGGAGACAGAGGUUGCAGUGAGCCGAGAUUGUGCCACUGCACUCCAGCCUGGGUGACAGAGUGAGGCUCUGUCUCAAAAAAAAAAAAAAAUCAAUCAAUAUUCAAGUACAAGGUGGUUAUAGAACACUAAGCCCAUUUAACCCAAAGAAGACUACCUCAAGGCAUUUAAUAAUCAAACUCCCAAAGGUCAAAAAUAAAAAAGGGAUCCUAAAAGCAGCAAGAGAAAAGAAACAACAUACAAUGGAGGCCAGGCAUGGUGGCUUACGCCUGUAAUUGAGCACUUUGGGAGGCUGAGACCAAGUGGAUCGCUUGAGGUCAGGAGUUCAGCCUGGCCAACGUGGCAAAACCCUGUCUCUACUAAAAAUACAAAAAUUAGCCGGGCAUGGUGGUGUGUGCCUGUAAUUCCAGCUACCCAGGAGGCUGAGGCAUGAGAAUCAUUUGAACAUGGGAGACAAAGGUUGCAGUGAGCCAAGAUCGUGCCACUCCACCACAGUCUGGGUGACAAAGUGAGACUCUGUCUCAAAGAAAAGCAAACAAAAAAACCACAUACAAUGGAACUCCAAUAGGUCUGGCAACAGACUUUUCAGUGGAAACCUUAUAGGCCAGGAGAGAAUGGCAUGACAUAUUUUAGGUGCUGAAGGAAAAAAACUUUUACCUUCAAAUAGUAUACCCAGCAAAAAUGUCCUUCAAACAUGAAGGAGAAAUACUUUCCCAGACAGACAAAAGCUGAGGGAUUUCAUCAACACCAGACCUGUCUUACAAGAAAUGCCAAAAGGAGUUCAAUCUGAAAGAAAACGAUGUUAAUGAGCAAUAAGAAAUCAUCUGAAGGUACAAAACUCACUGGUAACAGUAAAUAGAAAAAUACAGAAUAUUGUAACUGUAAUUGAGGUGUGUAAAUGACUCAUAUCUUAAGUAGAACAAUAAAAAUGAAUCGAUCAGGCUGCGUGCAGUGGCUCACGCCUGUAAUCCCAACACUUUAGGAGGUGGAGGUGGGUGGAUCACCUGAGGUCAGGAGUUCCAGACCAGCCUGGCCAACAUGGUGAAACCCGUCUCUACUAAAAAUACAAAAAAUUAGCCAGGUGUGGUGGCAGGCACCUGUAAUCCCAGCUACUUGGGAGGCUGAGGCAGGAGAACUGCUUCAACCCAGGAGGCGGAGGUUGCAGUGAGCUGACAUCACGCCCUGCACUCCAGCCUGGGCGACAGAGUGAGACUUCGCCUCAGAAAAAAAUAAAAAAUUAAAUUAAAAAAGCCUGGGACCUGAUGGCUUCACUGCCAAAUUUUACCAAACAUUUAAAGAAGAGCUAUUACCAAUCCUGCUCAAACUAUUCCAAAAAAUAGAGGAGGAGGGAAUACUUCCAAACUCAUUCUAUGAGGCAAAAUCAGACAAAGAUGAAUCAAAAGAAGAAAACUACAGGCCAAUAUCCCUGAUGAACAUUGAUGCAAAAGUCUUCAAUAAAAUACUAGCAAACCAUAUUCAGCAACGCAUUAAAAAAAUCAUUCAUCACGAUCAAGUGGGAUUUAUCCCUGGGAUGCAAGGGGGUUUCAACAAAUGCAAAUCAGUCAGUGUGAUAAUGUGAUAACAUAUCAACAGAAUGAAGAACAAAAACCAUAUGGUCAUUUCAAUUGAUGCUGAAAAAUCUUUUUAUAAAAUUCAACAUCCCUUCAUGAUAAAAACCCUCAAAUAACUGGGUAUAGAUGGAACAUAACAUAAUAAAUGCCAUAUAUGACAGACCCAUAGCUAGUGUCAUAUUGAAUGGGGAAAAACUGAAAACCUUCUAAGAUCUGGAACACAACAUGGAUGCCCACUGUGACCACUGUUAUUCAACACAGUACUGUAUAUCCUAGAUAGAGCAAUCACACAAGAGAAAGAAAAGGCUUCCAAAUUGGAAAGGAAGAAGUCAAAUUAUUGUUGUUUGCUGAUGAUAUGAUUUUACAUUUGGAAAAACCUAAAGAUUCCACAAGAAGAGUAUUAGGACUGAUAAACAAAUUCUGUAAAGUUGCAGGAUACAAAUAAACAUACAAAAAUAAGUAGCACCCUUUCCACAGCUUCCCAUUCUUUAGAAACCAGGCUGCAUAUUCCCGGUGGUGGCACGCUGGAUUCCAGGCUCUCGCAUCCCCACCAGCCUCCCUGAAGGCAGACGGGUGGCCAUGGAGACCCAUCCAGACUCAUGGUCUUCAGUGCAUUACAGGGUGGGUGAUGCCAGGGUGCCAGACGCCAUGUUUGACCAGAACAUUGGGAAGGUCAUAGCCAUGCUGGAGGUUCUUGUGAGGAGAUGAAUUGGUGAAGAGAGAGGCCAGGAUGAAGAUGCCUCCAGGAGUGGGCCAGUUUGGGACUGGCAGCUCCACCCGGGUUCUGCUCUCACUGCUGAGGGCAGAAGGGUUCACUGGUGAGACCCUUUGGGGGAAGACUGAGGAGGAGGCAAAGCAGCUUGCUGCUUCUAUGUCAGCCAGACUGAUGACAUCUUGCUGCAUCAAGAUGUGGAUCUGGUGGGCAUCAGCAUCUCCCCUCCACUCACCCAGCAGAUACAUGUCAAGGCUCUAGAUUUGUUGUCUGUGUCUAUGAUUGUUUCUGCUGCAAGCUGGCCAGAUGAGUUCCCCUCCUGAGCCUGUGUGAACAGACUCCAUCUUGGUCUGAUAUGGUUUGGGUCUCUGUCCCCACCCACAUCUCACCUUGAAUGGUAAUCCCCAUAAUCCACACGUGUUGAAGGAGGGACCCAAUAGGAGGUGACUGGAUCAUGGGGGCUGUUUCUCCCAUGCUGCUCUCAUGAUAGUGAGUGAAUUCUCAUGAGAUCUGAUGGUUUUAUAAGCGUCUGGCAUUUCCCCUGCUUGCACUUCUCUCUCCUGCCACCAUGUAAAGAAGGUAUCUAUGACAAACCCACAGCCAAUAUCAUACUGAAUGGGCAAAAACUGGAAGCAUUCCCUUUGAAAACUGGCACAAGACAGGGAUGCCCUCUCUCACCACUCCUAUUCAACAUAGUGUUGGAAGUUCUGGCCAGGGCAAUUAGGCAGGAGAAGGAAAUAAAGGGUAUUCAAUUAGGAAAAGAGGAAGUCAAAUUGUCCCUGUUUGCAGAUGACAUGAUUGUAUAUCUAGAAAACCCCAUUGUCUCAGCCCAAAAUCUCCUUAAGCUGAUAAGCAACUUCAGCAAAGUCUCAGGAUACAAAAUCAAUGUGCAAAAAUCACAAGCAUUCCUAUACACCAACAACAGACAAACAGAGAGCCAAAUCAUGAGUGAACUCCCAUUCACAAUUGCUUCAAAGAGAAUAAAAUACCUAGGAAUCCAACUUACAAGGGAUGUGAAGGACCUCUUCAAGGAGAACUACAAACCACUGCUCAAGGAAAUAAAAGAGGAUACAAACAAAUGGAAGAACAUUUCAUGCUCAUGGGUAGGAAGAAUCAAUAUCGUGAAAAUGGCCAUACUGCCCAAGGUAAUUUACAGAUUCAAUGCCAUCCCCAUCAAGCUACCAAUGCCUUUCUUCACACAACUGGAAAAAACUACUUUAAAGUUCAUAUGGAACCAAAAAAGAGCCCGCAUCGCCAAGUCAAUCCUAAGCCAAAAGAAUAAAGCUGGAGGCAUCACACUACCUGACUUCAAACUAUGCUACAAGGCUACAGUAACCAAAACAGCAAGGUACUGUUACCAAAACAGAGAUAUAGAUCAAUGGAACAGAACAGAGCCCUCAGAAAUAAUGCCGCAUGUCUACAACUAUCUGAUCUUUGACAAACCUGAGAAAAACAAGCAAUGGGGAAAGGAUUCCCUAUUUAAUAAAUGGUGCUGGGAAAACUGGCUAGCCAUAUGGAGAAAGCUGAAACUGGAUCCCUUCCUUACACCUUAUACAAAAAUCAAUUCAAGAUGGAUUAAAGACUUAAACGUUAGACCUAAAACCAUAAAAACCCUAGAAGAAAACCUAGGCAUUAUCAUUCAGGACAUAGGCAUGGGCAAGGACUUCAUGUCCAAAACACCAAAAGCAAUGGCAACCAAAGCCAAAAUUGACAAAUGGGAUCUAAUUAAACUAAAGAGCUUCUGCACAGCAAAAGAAACUACCAUCAGAGUGAACAGGCAACCUACAACAUGGGAGAAAAUUUUCGCACCCUACUCAUCUGACAAAGGGCUAAUAUCCAGAAUCUACAAUGAACUCAAACAAAUUUACAAGAAAAAAACAAACAACCCCAUCAAAAAGUGGGCAAAGGACAUGAACAGACACUUCUCAAAAGAAGACAUUUAUGCAGCCAAAAAACACAUGAAAAAAUGCUCAUCAUCACUGGCCAUCAGAGAAAUGCAAAUCAAAACCACUAUGAGAUAUCAUCUCACACCAGUUAGAAUGGCAAUCAUUAAAAAGUCAGGAAACAACAGGUGCUGGAGAGGAUGUGGAGAAAUAGGAACACUUUUACACUGUUGGUGGGACUGUAAACUAGUUCAACCAUUGUAGAAGUCAGUGUGGCGAUUCCUCAGGGAUCUAGAACUAGAAAUACCAUUUGACCCAGCCAUCCCAUUACUGGGUAUAUACCCAAAUGACUAUAAAUCAUGCUGCUAUAAAGACACAUGCACACGUAUGUUUAUUGCGGCAUUAUUCACAAUAGCAAAGACUUGGAACCAACCCAAAUGUCCAACAAUGAUAGACUGUAUUAAGAAAAUGUGGCACAUAUACACCAUGGAAUACUAUGCAGCCAUAAAAAAUGAUGAGUUCAUGUCCUUUGUAGGGACAUGGAUGAAAUUGGAAAUCAUCAUUCUCAGUAAACUAUCGCAAGAACAAAAAACCAAACACCGCAUAUUCUCACUCAUAGGCGGGAAUUGAACAAUGAGAUCACAUGGACACAUGAAGGGGAAUAUCACACUCUGGGGACUGUGGUGGGGUGGGGGGAGGGGGGAGGGAUAGCAUUGGGAGAUAUACCUAAGGCUAGAUGACGAGUUAGUGGGUGCAGCGCACCAGCAUGGCACAUGUAUACAUAUGUAACUAACCUGCACAAUGUGCACAUGUACCCUAAAACUUAAAGUAUAAUUAAAAAAAAAAAAGAAAGAAAAUGUGGCACAUAUACACCAUGGAAUACUAUGCAGCCAUAAAAAAUGAUGAGUUCAUGUCCUUUGUAGGGACAUGGAUGAAAUUGGAAAUCAUCAUUCUCAGUAAACUAUCGCAAGAACAAAAAACCAAACACCGCAUAUUCUCACUCAUAGGUGGGAAUUGAACAAUGAGAUCACAUGGACACAGGAAGGGGAACAUCACACUCUGGGGACUGUUGUGGGGUGGGGGGAGGGGGGAGGGAUAGCAUUGGGAGAUAUACCUAAUGCUAGAUGACGAGUUAGUGGGUGCAGCGCACCAGGAUGGCACAUGUAUACGUAUGUAACUAACCUGCACGUUGUGCACAUGUACCCUAAAACUUGAAGUAUAAUAAUAAAUAAUAAUAAUAAUAAUAAUAAUUGGGAGGAAAUAAAGUGGUUAAGAAGAGAAAAAAAAAAAAAGAAGGUCCUUGCUUCCCCUUCACCUUCUGGCCAUGAUUGUAAGUUUCCUGAGCCCUCUCCAGCCACGUGGAACUGUGAGUCAAUUAAACUCUUUCCUUUAUAAAUUACCCAGUCUCGGCCAGGUGCGGUGGCUCAAGCCUGUAACCAGUACUUUGGGAGGCUGAGGCGGGUGGAUCACGAGGUCAGGUGUUCAAGACCAGCCUGACCAAUAUGGUGAAACCCCAUCUCUACUAAAAAUACAAAAAUUAGCCAGGCGUGGUGGUACACGCCUGUAGUCCCAGCUACUUGGGAGGCUAAGGCAGGAGAAUUGCUUGAACUCGGGAGGAAGAGGUUGCAGUGAGCCAAGAUCGACCACUGCAUUCCAGCCUGGGUGACAGAGCGAGACUCCAUCUUGAGAAAAUAAAUAAAUUACCCAGUCUCGGGUAUUUCUUUAUAGCAGUGUGAGAAUAGACUAAUACACAGUCCAUCAGGGUAUUGGGAAGACUGUGGUUUGCAAGAACACAGCAACAUCAGUGGAUGCCUUUUGGAUGGUGAUGGCCUUGUGUUAACUGCCUGCAGCUGAUGAACGUGGUGGGGAACAUGCUGCAUUUCCUACCUGCCUUUGUGUGCAGGUGAAGCAACCAGUCUCGAAGCACUACGCAGGAGUGAUGAUGAUCUGCGACACCUGCAUCUACUCAGGCAGCCUGCUGAGCCCCAGCCAUAGCUGGAUCUGUGACGAGCUCACGGGCAGCAGGGGUCUGACACAAUGGGGACCUACAUCGUGGACCUGCUGACCCACCCGACCUUCUGGAGAGAUGAGAAGUUGCACACACUGUCAAGACAUACAUGAGGCAGAGUGCCACCAUCUGUGGCAUCCAGCAUGUCACCAUUGAUGACUUCUGUUUCAAAAAAAAAAAAAAAAAACUACCUGCCGAAACAGGAUUCAACACUGUGUAAAAGAAGGAAACAACUUCACAACAUCAAGAUACUAAGCAAUGUAGCAGUUACAACUAUACAAUAAAAAAUUACUAGACACAUGAAGAUUCAACAAAAUAUGAUCCAUACCAGAAGAAAAAUCAGUCAAUAGAAUCAGAAAUGACAGAGAUCAUGGAAUUAGCACAAAAAAAACCAUUAAAACAGCUAUUACUAAUAUAAUUAAGAAUUUACAAGAAAAUAUGAACAUAAGAAAAAAUGAAGAUAUGAAAAACAAUGAAAUGCAGCUUUUAGACUUAUGUAAUGCAAUAUCUGAAAAAAAUUUAAAUCACUGUAGGAGCUUAAAGCAAAUUUAAUGUAGAAGAAAAGAUUGAUGACCUUGAAGACAUAGCAAUAGAAGCUAUUCAAGCUGUAGCACACAGAGAAAAAUACACCAAAAAGCCAAACUGCUAUGAGUGUCUGCAGAAAUAAACUUCAGUAGAUGUGUAACUCCAAGGACUGUAGGUAGUGGAAUUGACAGAUAUGAAAAGUAUAGAAUUUCUGUGUUCUGAAUAUUUUAAAAGGUAAAGGAUGUUAUAAAGAUGAGCAAGAGAUUACCAGGAAUGGACAGACAGGUUGGAAGGUAGUUGGGAGAUGGGGAGAUGCUCUAGAAAUAUAAAAUAUAAUUGUUAGAAUAACAAAACUCAGUGGAAAGGUUAAAGAGCAAAUUUGAUACAGAUGAAGAGAGAAUUAAUAAAUGAAGCCACUGAGGUGGCUCAUGCCUAUAAUCCCAGCACUUUGGGAGGCCGAGGUGAGACGAUCACUUGAGGCUAGGAGUUCAAGACCAACCUGGACAACAUGGUGAGACCCUGUCUCUACAAAAAAGUUUAAAAAUUAGCUGGGCAUGUUAGUGUAUGCCUGUAGUCCUAGCUACUCAAAAGGCUAAAGCAGAGCAUGACUUGAGCCCAGGAGUUUGAGGCUUCAGAGUGCUAUGAUUAUGCCACUGUGCUCCAGCUUGGGCGACUGAGGGAGACCUUGUCUCUUAAAAAAUAAAUGAGAAGAUAUCUUUAAAAAUUACCCAGGGUAUACUAAGGAGAGACAAGGAAGUAAAAAUAUGAAAACAAUAUUAAGAGAUGGAAGCUUGGAUAAGAAAGUCACACAUAUGACUAAUUGAAAUCUCAGAAAGAAAGAAAAGAAGGAAAAAAGUAGAGGCAAUACUCCCUGCCCCCUAAUAUUUUGUGAAAUUGUUCAAACAUACAGAAAAGUUGAAAGAAUUACACAGUGAACUUUUACAUUUACCAAUUAAUUCUAGAACAUUUUGUUAUAUUUACUGUAUCAUAUAGCUAUCCACUUAACCAUCCAUCAAUCCUAUUUUUUAUGCAUUUCAGAGUAAGUUGUAGACAUCACCACUAAACAUUUUAGUAUGUUCAUCAUUAGUAUUCAGUAUUGUUCUAUAGCUUUUUUGUAUUUAAAAUGUACAUACAAUAAAAUGCACAGAUCUUAAGUACAAUAUUUGGUAAAUUUUUACAAGUGCAUAUACCUGUGUAACACAAACUGUCAAAAAAAACCAUAUACUGCUCUUCAGAAAAUUCCCUUAUGCCCCUUGCUAGUCAAUCCCUGCCCUUUACCUCCCACUGGUAAGAAGUGUUCUAAUGAGAGGUAUCAUUUAGAUAAAUAGUGCUGUGAUUUUUGCAGAAAUGAUGAAAAAAAUGAAUUAACAGAUCUGGGAGUCACAAGAUAAUGAAAGCAGGAUACAUAAACAGAAAUGUAUAAUGACAUUGUAUAAAGAACCUGCAGAAUUUGUAAGAUCUUACAAGCAGCUAGAAAGGGCAGAUCACUUGCAAAAGAACAGCAGUGAAAAUGACAGUGGAUUUAUUAUCAGCAUCAAUGGAAACCAGAAGUUAAUGGAAUAAUACCUUUCAAGUGCCAAAAGAUAAUGGUCAACUAGAAUUAUGUACUUGCCCAGACUACCUUUUAAGAAGAGUGAAAUAGAGACAUUUAAAGAUAAGUGAUAAUUGAGAGUUUAGCUCAGAGAUAUGCACAAAACUCCUAAAUGACAUAUAGUCAUGCACUACAUGACAAAGUUUUGGUCAAUAACAGACCGCAUAUACAAUGGUGGUCCCAUAAGAUUAUAUUGGCUGAGUAUUGCUAAUCCAAAAAUCCAAAAUCCAAAAUACUCCAAAAUUUGAAACUUUUUGAGUGCCAACAUGAUACUCAAAGGAAAGGUUCCUUGGAACAUUUCUUUGGAUUUUCAGGUUAGGGAUGCUCAACACUAAGUAUCAUGCAAAUAUUCCAAAAUAAAAAAAAAAUUCAAAACCAAAAUUUUCUUGUCCUAAGGAUUUAGGAUUAGGGAUACGCAACCUGUAAUACUGUAUUUUUACUGGACCUUUUCUAUGUUUAGAUAUACAAAUACAUACUCGUAUUACAGUUGCCUAUUCAGUACAGUAAUAUGCUAUACAGGUUUGUAGCCUAGGAGCAAAAGGCUAUGCCAUAUAGUCUAAAUAUGUAGUAGGCUAUACCAUCUAGGUUUGUGUAAGUACAGUCUGUGGUUUGCACAAUGAUGAAAUCACGUAAGGACACAUUUCACCUUUCUCAGAAUGUAUCCCAUCAUUAAGUGAUGUGUGACUGUAGUUGAGAGAUAGUAUUUCACAGGAGUUAAGAAUAUGCACUUUGGAGACUCCAUAGGUGUGAAUCCCUAUUCCACCAUUUGCUAGCUGUGGAACACUGGACAAGUGAGUUAACACCUCUGUGCUUCAGUUUUUUUUCUCACUUGUAAAAUUUUGACAAUAAUUGUAUUCAUGGAAUUGUUAUGAGGAUUAAAUGAACUAAUAUAAAAUAAAGCACUUAGAACCAAACCUGGAAUAUAAGUGCUUUGUUAAGUCAGAGCUUAAAAAAAGGAAAUUAUCAUAAAAGAAUGGUCUGAAGUACAAAAUAGAAUGGUGAGUGAAUAAAAUGGUGAACAAGCUUGUCAGUCCAAACAUCAGUCUAGAAAAAUAAGGUCCGAUUUGUGAAGUUUUGAACUAAUGCCUCCAAUAACAAUAGCAAGUAGGCAUUUGGGGGAGGGUCAAUGUAAUUAAAAUUAUUCUAAGAUCAUUACUUCGUUUCAAAGGAAAGUUAAGAUAUGUUUGCCUUUACAUUUUGUUAAGUUAGACACUUAUAAAAUGCAGGGACAGUUGUUAAAAAAAAAAGGAAUAAAUACAGAGCUAUGAAUUCCAAUUCAGUGGAGGAAAAAUGGAAUUUAAAAAAUCUAACCAUAAAGUCAGUUUUUUAAAAAUGCAGAAACAGCCAGCGCCGUGGCUCACGCCUGUAAUCCCAGCACUUUGGGAGGCUGAGACGGGCAGAUCACGAGGUCAGGAGAUCGAGACCAUCCUGGCUAACACGGUGAAACCCCGUCUCUACUAAAAAUACAAAAAAUUAGCCAGACAUGGUGGCGGGCGCCUGUAGUCCCAGCUACUUGGGAGGCUGAGGCAGGAGAAUGGCAUGAACCCGGGAGGCAGAGCUUGCAGUGAGCCGAGAUCACGCCACUGCACUCCAGCCUGGGCGACAGAGCGAGACUCCGUCUCAAAAAAAAAAAAAAAUGCAAAAACGUUGGGGCUAUAAAAAUAGUAGCUCAGAAAAAGCAAGGCAAAUAUAAACAAAAAAGAUAUAUAAACAAAUCCAACUAUAUCAAGAAUCACAAUAAACAUAAAUGUAUGACAUUUACCAAUUAAAAGAUAGAGUUUGUCAGACUGAAAUGAAAAGAAAAAUCUAGCUGUAUGACAUAUACAAGAAUCUGAAAACAUACAGGCAAAACAGUAGAAGAUAAGAGAUAGAAAAACAUAUACCAGGCAGAUCUUAAUACAAAGAAUUCACAUACAUACAUUAAUUUCAGAAAAAAGAUUUUAAGACAAAAAAAGAUUAUUAGAAUAAAAAGGUCAUUACCUACUGAUAAAAGGUUUUUUUCACCAGAAAAAAAACAGAAAAAUUCUAAUCCUGUUUGUAACUAAUAAAAUGGACUUAAGCUAUAUACAGCAAAAAAUGUUAGAACUACAGGAGGUGGCAAAUUUCUAUGCAACUCUCUCAGUUCUUGAUAGGUUAAACAAACAAAAACCAGUGCAUUGGUCUAGGCCCUGGGAAUACAGAAGUGAACAGGCAGACCAUCACCUGCAUGCUAGUGGGAAGAUAAAUUAACAAAAAUAUCAAAUUUUGGAUAAUGAUAAAUGAAUGAAGAAAAAAUCAAAUAUAAAGGUAGAAUCUAAUGGGAAGAGGUGGUUAUUUUAUGAGGGUGGUUAAGGGAAGGCUUCCUUGAAGAGGUGGCAUUUAUGCGGACACAUGAAUUAGUUGAGGGAGCAAAUGAUGUGUAUAUAUAGGGGAAUAUUUUUUCAGACAAAAGGAAAAGCAACUGGAAAGACCCUGAGGCAAACAUGAGUUUCACAUAAUGCAAAUAUACAUAUUUAGCUUUUUGAAUCUGCUUAGAAUGUCUUUUCCCCCCAUUUUAAGUAGAAUGUAGAAACCUUACAUAUAGGUCUACUUAACCUGUACCCCUUACGUUAGAGUUGUCAUGAAUUACGUCUACAUAUGUUUAAAACCCCAUUAGACAAUGGUACAGUUAUUUUCAACCAUCAAAUAUAUUUUUAAAGAACUUAGUACCUGUCAAUGAUAGACUAGAUGUGGCACAUAUACACCAUGGAACACUAUGCAGCCAUAAAAAAGGAUGAGUUAAUGUCCUUUGCAGGGACAUGGAUGAAGCUAGAAACCAUCAUUCUCAGCAAACUAACACAGGAACAGAAAACCAAACGCCACAUGUUCUCACUCAUAAGUGGGAGUUGAACAAUGAGAACAUAUGGACACAGGGAGGGGAACAUCACACACCGGGGCCUGUUGGGGGAUGGGGUACUAGGGGAGGGAUAGCAUUAGGAGAAAUACCUAAUGUAGAUGAUGGGUUGAUGGGUGCAGCAAACCACCAUGGCACAUAUAUACCUAUGUAACCUGCACAUUCUGCACAUGUAUCCUAGAACUUAAAGUAUAAUUUAAAAAACAAACAAAACUUAAGAGGAGAAUAGGAGAAUAGACUACUAUUUUUACACAGAUAUUUACCAUUUCUGGUGCUCUUCCUUCAUUCCUGAUGUUUUCAGGUUUCCUUCUGGUAUCAUUUCCCUCUGUCUGAAGAAUUUUCUUUAGCAAUUAUUUUAGAACAGCUCUGCUAGAAAUGAAUUCUUUUAGUUUGUCUUCAUAUGAGAAUGCCAUUAUUUCACCUGAAUUCCUGAUGGAUAUUUUCACUAGAUGUAGUAUUCUGUGUUGACACUUUCAGUGCUUUAAAAUUAUUGUGCCACUUCUGGCCGGGCGCGGUGGCUCAUGCCUGUAAUCCCAGCACUUUGGGAGGCCAAGGUGGGUGGAUCAUGAGGUCAGGAGAUUGAGACCAUCCUGGCUAACAUGGUGAAACCCCGUCUCUAAUAAAAAUACAAAAAAAUUAGCCGAGCGUGGUGGCAGGUGCCUGUAGUUCCAGCUAGUUGGGAGGCUGAGAUAGGAGAAUGGCAUGAACCCAGGAGGCAGAGCUUGCAGUGAGCCUAGAUCACACCACUGCACUCCAGUCUGGGCGACAGAGCAAGACUCCGUCUCAAAAAAAAAAAAAAAUUAUUGUGCCACUUCUGUGGUUUGCAUGGAUCCUGCUGAGAGAUUUGCUGUGAUUCAGAUUGUUUGUGUGUAGGUAGUACUUUGAAUUUCUCUAGCUACUUCCAAGAUUUUUUUCUUUGUCUUCAUUUUCAGCAUUUUGAUUGUGAUGUGUUUGGGUAUAAAUUUAUGUGUUAAACCUGUUUGGGGUUUGUUGAACUUCUUAAAUCUGUAGAUUUGUCUUUUGCCAAAUUUGAGACCUUUUCUUCCAUUAUUCUAAAUUUUUCAGCACCUUUUGUCAUUAUCCGAGAGGUCUCUGAGAUUCUACUCAUUGUUUUUUCAAAUCUUUUUUCUCUCUGCUGUUCAGAUUGGUUAAUUUUUAUUGAUCUAUUUACAAGUUCAUUGACUCUGUCAUGUUUACCUUGCUAUUGAAACCAUCCAGUGAAUUUUUUUUAAAUGUUGGCUAUUGUAUUUUUCUGUUCUAAAAUAUCCAUUUGAUUCUUCUUUAUGUCUUCUAUUUAUUUGCUGAUACUUUCUAUUUUUUUCUUAUUGGCUUCAAAAAUGCUUGUGACUGCUUGUAGGAGAAUUGUUAUAACAAAGUCAAGAACUUUGGAGGGUCUGAUAUUUUACCUUACUUGCAAGUUAACAAGUUAGGCUGCCACAAUUUCAUGAAUAGUGACAGAAGACACGAGACUCCUGGGUCAGAGACAAAGGACAGUUUAUUACCCACACGAAUAGCAGGAGGCAGAGUAUCAGCAUUUAACCCAGUUUUCUGAGCCUCAGUUCCCACACAGUGAUGCUGUGAGGGCCUGGUGAUACCUGUAUAUGUAGUGGGAUUUAUGAAUGCUGUGGGAAACACCAGUCUUCAAUAAAGGGCCAGCAAACCUGCCCAGCCUUGCCCUGGAGAGAGACAUUAUCUUUUUUUUUUCAUCCUGGAAGGAAAAAAAUCUGUCCUUGGUCCCAAAGGAAGACAUUCUAUCUUCCAAGGAUGUUUGCUAUACAAACAGCUAAAAAAGAUAGUUCAGAGAAAAAGCUGUUAAUGCCUUUGCCUAGAACACCUGUAGAAAUGCAAGAGACCAAUGGAGAAUAGACUCCUAACAAAUAUUAGUAGUUGCUUUAAAGCCUUCAUCAGACAAUUUUAUCAUCUGUGUUAUCUCAGCAUUGUCCUUUUUUUUCCCUAUAUGAAUUGAGAUUUUCUUGUUGUUUUUUUUUUUGUUUGUUUGCUUUGUAAUUUUGGACCGUAUCAUGGAUAUUUUGAAUAUUCUGUUUUGAGAUGCUGGAUCUUAUUUAAAUCCUAUUAAGAAUGUUGAUAUUUUUGUUUUAGCAGGCAAUCAAGCUGGCUAGGUUCCUGCCACAAGUUCAGACUAGUCUUCUGUAGGUGAGAAAGCGCAUAAUGAUAUUAAUAUCCACCUCCCAAACCCCAGAGUGUGUUACAUUCCAGGGUGAUAAACCUAGAGGGGCCUUCUUCCUCUUCCCAGAGGAAAUUCACUUACAUUUCAAGAUAAUGAAUAAUUUCUCUCCUGAAUGGGAGGAAUGGGUAGGUCACCAGCAGCUUUGAUAAAAGCUUGGAGGCUUCUAAAUUUAAGAUUCUUCUCCUGUGAUGCAACCCACUGCACAGGAAACAUCUGUUGCCUUACGGGAAAUGGGGCAUGGGGAAAUGACACAAGGUGUUGUAAAUGCUUUGUGCUUUCAGUAGCAAAUCUUUUAUGGCACCAGCCCAGCAGUCUGGUGUCUUCUGGCAGUAUAUGUAUAUGAAACUGUGGCAAGCUAACCUAUUAGCUUGCAAGAAGGACAAACUCUAAGACACUUCACAGUUUCUGACUUAACAGGGGAGAGUGGCAGGAUGUGAAGGUGAAGGAGCAGGCAGGGCAAAUUACAUAGCACCAUCCAUAGCUAAGGUAAUAGAUGAAUUGUUAAUGUUAAAAAUAAUGACAGCUGGCCGGUCACGGUGGCUCAUGCCUGUAAUCCCAGCACUUCAGGAGGCCGAGGCAGGCGGAUCACGAGGUCAGGAGAUCUAGACCACCCUGGCUAAAAUGGUGAAACUCUGUCUCCACUAAAAAUACAAAAAAUUAGCCUGGCGUGGUGGCAGGCACCUGUAGUCUUAGCUACUCGGGAGGCUGAGGCAGGAGAAUUGCUUGAACCCAGGAGGCGGAGCUUGCAGUGAGCCAAGAUCGCGACACUGCACUCACUCCAGCCUGGGCAACGGAGCGAGACUCCAUCUAAAAAAAAAAGAAUAAUGACAGCAGUAGCAGUGGAAAGGAAAACAAGACACUGCAUGCUAAGCUCUUCUGCAAUGAGGGUGAGAGACCAGGAAGACAGUAGACGACUGUAAAAAAAAAAAGGAGAAUGGAUGAUAUGGUCAAGGGAACUAGAAUUUUCAAAGGAGAAAAAAGGUCUGGAAUUGGCAGUGGGGAAUAAGCAGGACACCUACCUCAUCUCUAGGCUCCUUUGGUAAGUGGGUUGAGUAAUUUUUAAAAGCAGACACAAUUUGAGAGUAUUGCAAGGAAAGCAAUAUUAUUAGGAGAUGGUUAGGUUUUGGUUAGAGUAAGAAAAUGAAAGGAAUGUUUAGAAAAGGUGUUAAGGAUUAGGGGAUUUGACUGAUGACAAUACAGUGGAAGGGUCAACACAGAUUAAGAGGAGUGGGAGCCUGGGCACAGGGGCUCAUGCCUGUAAUCCCAGCACCUUGGGAGGUCGAGCCAGGCAGAUCACCUGAGGUGAGGAGUUCGAGACCAGCCUGGCCAACAUGGUGAAACCCUGUCUCUACUAAAACACAAAAAUUAGCUGGGUGUGGUGGCUCAUGCCUGUAAUCCCAGCUACUUGGGAGGCUGAGGCAGGAGAAUUGCUUGAAUCCGGGAGGCAGAGUUUGCAGUGAGACAAGAUCGCACCACUGCACUCCAGCAUGGGUGACAGAGCAAGACUCCGUCUCAAAAAAAAAAAAAAAAAAAGGAAUGGGAAAUUAGGCUAUAUUAGAGCAAAGCAUGAUGGUGUUACAAUUCUAUACAAUGGACUUUAAAAGAUGCAAAUAGGGAAAUGAGGUAUGAUGGGGUUAUUUCUAUUUUUUUAAAAAAAGGUCUCAUUAUAGCCUCUUGGGAUUGUUCUUUUAAGCAGUUUGUAGCGUGUUAUUAUAAUCUCUUGGAAUUGUUCUGUUAGGCAGUUUAUAAAGCAGGUGGAUAUUGUGAUGGGUCGGGGGUAGAUUUACCAGGAUCACAUUCAGCUCUUUGUGCCUCUAAAAUCCAGCUGGAGUUGUGACUGGGAAGAACUCUGGAUGUGUUAUUUAAAUCCAGGAACACUGGGAAUUUUAGAGGCUUUCUUUACAGUCUAAGUCUUUGGUGUUGCUGCCACUGGACAGGCAAUCUCCAGGAGCUUGGAAAUCCUGCUGUGACUGGGAAAGAGCAUAGUGAUAUAAGUAAAUAUCUACCAGGAAAAUCCAAGAAAAGCAACAUCACUUUAGGUGUCUCCUCAAACUUCAGCUCAUCAGAGGGGGCUUAUUUUAAUACAUUAUCUGAAAGAAUAUCUUUCCUGGUCACUUUCCAUCCUCCUUUCUAUGCUUUUCCCGACCACCACCUCCUUAGCACUUAUCACCACCUGUCAUAUAUUUCUCUGUUUAGUAUUUCCUCUCUGUAGGAUAUAAAGACCUGGAGAACAGAUUUAUUACUGCUAUUUCCAGGACCCAGAAUAGCAUUUGGCACAUUGUACACACUCAAUAAAUAUUUGUAGAGUGGAUGGAUAAACUGAAGAAUAUUAGAACCAUUAAACAAGUCUAGUAAUGUGACCAAUUAAAAAAUCAGUAAUUCUGCUGGGCGUGGUGGCUCAUGCCUGUAAUCCCAGCACUUUGGGAGGCCGAGGUGGGCAGAACAUCCGAGGUCGGGAGUUCAAGGCCAGCCUGGCAAUCAAGGUGAAACCCCAUCUCUACUAAAAAUACAAAAAUUGGUGUGGCAUGUGCCUGUAAUCCCAGCUACUUGGGAGGCUGAGGCAAGAGAAUCACUUGAACUCGGGUGGCAAAGGUUGCAGUGACCCGACAUUUUACCACUGCACUCCAGCCUGGGUGACAGAGUGAGACCCUGUCUCAAAAAAACAAAACAAAACAAAACAAAAAAAACAAAAAGGACAAAAAAACCCAGUAAUGGUAAUAAAAAAUAUAAAAUAUUCAGAAGUAAACUAAAUGGUAAAUAGUACUCAAAUUUACCGACAGAGGAAAUGGAUGAAUGGAGGAGAGUACCAUGCUGCUGGAUGGAAAGACAUAAUAUUGUAAUAAUGCAAACUCUCUUCAAGUUAAUCUAUAAAAUGGACACAAUAUCAGUCAAAAUUCCAGUGGAAUUUUUGGAGGAAAGGAAGGGGCAAAUUUGACAAAAUGAUUGUAAAUUUCACCAUGAAGAAUAAAUGCUUCAGAAUAGCCAAUUCAUAUUUUGAAGAAAGGCAUCGAUAAGGGACCUUGCUCUAUUAGACACAAAAACCUAUAUAGGAAAAGACAAAUGGGUGGUAUAUAUUAAAAGUUUUUUUUUUAAGUACAUACCCUUUGCCCAGACAUUCCACUUCUGGAAAAUUUCCCUGAGAAAUAACUAGAUAGUAUAUGGCUAAGAUAUUUAUUGAAACAUUGUCUAUAAUGUUAUAAUGCCAAUCCAAUUAAAAACAUUGAUUGUUUGACAAGUAGAGGAUGGUUUUAACCAAGUAUGGUUUAAAUAAAUUCCUGUGGAAUACCACAGAGCUCUUAAGCAUGAUGUAGAACUACAUUAAUUGAUAUGGAAGGUGAUCGCCAUAUAUUGUUAUGUUUUUUAAAAAGCUGAUUACAAAACAGAUGUCUAAUACUAUCCACAUUUUUGUAAAAUAAAAAUUGGCAUAUACCUGUGAAGAAAAAAACCUAGAUGGAAGAUUAUAUAUCAAAAUGUUAACAAUAGUUCUGCAUCUGUACACUGAAAAAUGGUAUGCUUUCCCCAAAAUGGGAUGGUACUUAAAUUCCUCAUUACUGCCACCUGGUGGCAACCAAGGGAGAUUUCUAAUUUCUUUUCUACCACCUUGAGUACAAUGCACGUAACAUCAUAAUUAUAUAAAGUUAUAAAGAAAUCUUCAGUAUCACCUGGUUCUAUCCAUCAUUUUGUAGCUGAAGAAAUAAAGGGCAAAGACUUUAAGCCACUUGUCUGAAGUUGCACUGUUAGUGAAAUUUAAUAAUAGUAGCAAACAUUUGUUGAGCCGUUUUGCUAAGUACUUCAAAUGGAUUAUAUCAUUUUAUUGUCACAGGAGCCUAUGAGGUUGGUCCUAUUUUUACUCUCACUUAUCCCUACUUACCAGAUGAGGAUCCUGAGGCUCAGAAAAAGUAAGCAACUUACCCAAGGCUGUAUAGUUGGGAUACAGCCAGUGAUUCUGAGUUUUACCUCCCUCUCCUGAACCUUCUGUACUGUACCUUCUUAGCCCAUUAAUUGCCCCUGCCCCUUCCACUACGUACCCUUGCCCUUUCCUUGUCCGUUCCUUCAGUGUUUUGGUGACAACUCUUAGCAUAUGCCCAGUCUUUGUGUUAUGUUUCUCAUGGAUGAAAAGACAGUAUAGGCCAGGUGUGGUGGCUUAUGCCUGUAAUCCCAGCACUUUGGGAGGCUGAGGUGGGCAGAUCACCUGAGGUCAGGAGUUCGAGGCCAGCCUGGCGAAACCAUGUCUUUACUAAAGUAAUCCCAACUACUUGGGAGGCUAAGGCAUGAGAAACACUUGAAACUGGGAGGUGGAGGUUGCAGUGAGCCGAGAUCACACCACUGCACUCCAGCCAGGGGAUAGAGCGAGACUCUGUCUCAAAAAAAAAAAAAAAAAAAGGGAAGGAUUGAUUGAUUUACUGAGAGAAGUAUAAGGAAACAAAAUGCCCCAAGACCCUUGUCCGGAAGGAAGGGAGGGAGGGAAAGGAAAGGAAAGGAAGGAAAGGAGGGAGGGAGCGAAAAGACAGUAAAGACAGUAUGAACAUUUACUGAGAGAAGUAUAAUUAUCAGGGGAACCCGCCCCCAAUAUUUCAACGGAGGUUCUAUUUUCCAUAAGUGUUGGCCGGCUGAGAAAUAAAGAGUACAAAGAGAGAAAUUUUACAGCUUGGCCACCAGGGGUGACAUCACAUAUCGGUAGGACCAUGAUGCCCACCCGAACCUCAAAACCAGCAAGUUUUUAUUAAGGAUUUCAAAAGGGGAGGGCGUGUAUGAACAGGGAGUAGGUACAAAGAUCACAUGCUUCAAAGGGCAAAAAGCAGAACAAAGAUCACAUGCUUCUGAGGAAACAGGACAAGGGCAAAGCAGAACUCCUGAUAAGGGUCUAUGUUCAGCGGUGCAUGUAUUGUCUUGAUAAACAUCUUAAACAACAAAACACAGGUUCGAGAGCAGAGAACCGGUCUGACCAAAAAUUUACCAGGAUGGAGUUUCCCAAUCCUAAUAAGCCUGAGGGUACUGCAGGAGACCAGGGCAUAUUUCGUCAUUAUCUCAACCACAUAAGACAGACACUCCCAGUGCAGCCAUUUAUAGACCUCCCCCCAGGAAUGCAUUCUUUUCCCAGGGUCUUAAUAUUAAUAUACCUUGCUAGGAAAAGAAUUUAGCGAUAUCUCUCCUACUUGCAUGUCUGUUUAUAGGCUCUCUGCAAGAAGAAAAAUAUGGCUCUUUUUGCCUGACCCUGCAGGCAGUCAGACCUUAUGGUUGUCUUCCCUUGUUCCCUAAAAAUCGCUGUUAUUCUAUUCUUUUUCAAGGUGCACUGAUUUCAUAUUGUUCAAACACACGUUUUACAAUCAAUUUGUACAGUUAACACAGUUAUCACAGUGGUCCUGAGGUGAUGUACAUCCUCAGCUUACGAAGAUAACAGAAUUAAGAGAUUAAAGUAAGACAGGCAUAAGAAAUUAUAAAAGUAUUAUUUGGGAACUGAUAAAUGUCCAUGAAAUCUUCACAAUUUAUGUUCCUCUGCCACGGCUCCAGCCGGUCCCUCCAUUUGGGGUCCCUGACUUCCCGCAACAUAUAAGGAAACAAAAUACCCCCAGCUCCUUACCCCAGACCCUUGUCCAGAUAGAAAUUUAGACUUAUUAAUAUAUUGAAUUGUUCAAGUGUCCAUAUACUAAGAAUUACAUCAGCGAUGUGGAACUAUGGAUAGGCUUCCUUGGGUUCCUGGCUCCACACUAUAACCACCGCCCCCCACCCCUUAAAUUUCUGUAUAGCAGACUUAAGAGUGAAUAUCACCAUAUGCAGUUGUUCAUGUACUUCUUCCCCUUUCUCUUCUAGCUCUUGACAAAAUUCUCAGGGAAAACUCUUCAGCUCUGGAUGUCUCCCUUUUUGUGGAUCAAACACAAAGGGCAUCAUUCUAAAAUAUAUACAGAACCAUAAAAGCCCCAAAUAGCCAAAGCAACCCUGAGCAAAAAGAACAAGGCUGGAAGCAUCACACUACCAGACUUCAAAAUUUACUACAAAGCUCUAAUACCUAAAAUAACAUGGUACUGGCAUUAAAAAAAAAAAAAAAAUAGGCACAUAGACCACCAAUGAAACAGUAUAGAGAAUCUAGAUAUACCAACUCAUCUUUAACAAAGGUGCCAAGAACAUACAAUGAGGAAACGAUGGUCUUUUCAAUAAAUGGUGUGGGGGAAAGCUAGAUAACUAUAUGCAGAAGAAUGAAACAAGAUUCCUCUCUCUCGCUAUACACAAAAAUCAAAUCAAAAUGGAUUAAAGGCUUAAAUCUAAGACCUGAAACUACAAAACUAGAAGAACACACUGGAGAAGUGCUCCAGGACCUUGGUCUGGGAAAAGAUUUUUUUGUUUAAGACCUCAAAAGCACAGACAACAAAGCAAAAACAGACAAAUGAGAUUACAUUAAGCUAAAAAGUUUCUGCACAGCAAAGGAAACACUCAACAGAGUGGGGGAGACAACCCACAGAAUGAGAGAAAACAUUUUCAAACUAUCCAUCCGACAAGGGAUUAAUGACCAGAAUAAAGAGACCAAACAAUUUAAGCCAAAAACAAAACAAACAAACACACAAAAAAAACAAAAGCCAAAUAAUCUAAAAAGUGGGCAGGUUGGGUGGGGUGGCUCAAGCCUAUAAUCCCAGCACUUUGGGAGGCCAAGGCAGGCAGGUCAAGAGAUCGAGACCAUCCUGGCCAACAUGGUGAAACCCCAUCUCUACUGAAAAUACAAAAAAAAUUAGCCGGGUGUGGUGGCAUGUGCCUGUAGUCCCAGCUACUUGGGAAGCUGAGGCAGUGAGAAUCGCUUGAACCUGGGAGGCAGAGGUUGCAGUGAACCAAGAUCACACAACUGCACUCCAGCCUGAUGACAGAGCGAGACUCCAUCUUGAAAAAAAAAAAAAAAAAAGUGGGCAAAAGAUCCAAACAGACAUUUCUCAAAGGAAGACAUAAAAAUGGCCAACAGGUAUAUGAAAAAAUGCUCAACAUUACUAAUCAUUAGAGAAAUGCAAAUUAAAACAACAUGUUAUUUCACCCCAGUUAAAAUGGCUUGUAUUAAGAAAACAGAUAAUAACAGAUGCUAGUGAGGAUGUGGAGAAAAGAGAACCCUCAUACACUGUUGGUAGAAAUGUAAACUAGUACAACCACUAUGAAGAACAGUAUGGAAGUUCUUCAAAAAACUAAAAAUAGAAUUACCAUAUGAUCCAGCAAUUCCACUACUGAAUAUGUAUCCAAAAGAAAGGAAAUCCGUAUAUCAAAAAGAUAUCUGCACUCCCAUGUUUAUUGCAGCAUUGUUCACAAUAGCCAAGAUAUGGAAUUAACCUAAGUGCCCAUCAAUGGGUGAAUGGAUAAAGUGUGGUAUGUAUGCACAAUGAAAUAUUAAUCAGCCAUAAAAAAUAAUGAAACCCUCUCAUUUGCAGCAACAUGGAUGAUACUGGCGACCACUAUGUUAAAUAAGCCAAGUACAUAAAGACAAAUAUUGCAUGUUGUCAGUCAUACAUGGGAGCUAAAAAUGUGGAUUUCAUGAUGACACAGAGUACAUUGGUGGUUACCAGAAGCCAGAAAGGAGGGGAUGGAGUAGGGGAUGAAGGGGGAAAAAGGAUAUAAGUGUACUUAUUACCACUGAACUGUACACUUAAAAUGGUAAAGAUGGUAUGUUAUGUAUUACCUCAGUUUACAAAAGAAAAAACAAAUGGCAUCAACGUUAAUAAGUGUAAAAGUUGUACUAGGGAUAAAUCCGCCAUUUAAAAGGGAAAUUAGAAAUCUGAAAUAAUGAGUGCAGUUAGACUCUGAAACCCUUGAAGUCCCCAAAAGUCUCAUUCAGAACUGGUCCCAAAAUGAAUACGUACUUUUGUAUCAUUGUCUAAUUAAAGCUGCUUUUUUCAAGUAUUAGUUUGCUUCAAAAUUAAUCUUUUUAUUUGUACUAUUAUUAUGAGUGUUAUUUCCUAUUCUUCAGGUAUAUUUUUUGGAGAACAGUGUUAGUGAAAAGAGCUUGACUGUUAGACAGUCUUGAGUUAAAAUUCACGUUAGCUGUGACGAAGAAACUAUUACAUUAAAUUUUAAUUACUUAAUUUUAUUAUCUACAAUUAAGGAUAAUAAUAUCACCAAAGGUUGUGGAGAGGAUUUAAUGGGAUGACACAUAAAACUAGGACAUAGAGGCAUCUAGCAAAUACACACUUCCUUCCCUUCUCCCUUGUUAUAUACUUAUCCACACGGGCUAGGAUUUCUUUGAAGGAACCAUUUCUAUCUUAGCCAGUGUUCUAUCUGAGGUAUUUGAUGCUCUCUGCUUUUUUCUUUCACACCCCACUUUCAGUCUCUCAGUAUGUACUGUGAGCUCUGCUUUCAGACUAGAUUCGUAACUCAGUGAUUUCCUACUCCUCCACAACCACCACCCUGGUCCAGGCCAUCAUCAUUUUUCAUCUGGACUACUGUAGUCACUUCCUAACUGGACUCCCAACUUCCACUCUUGCUGCUUGCCAUUUAUUGUUCACAUAGCAGCCAAAGUUAUUCUUUCAUAAAUUAGAUCAUGUCACUUCUCUGCUCAAAACCUUCCAAGAGCUCUCCACCACUUUUAGACUAAAUAUCUGAAGUCCUUACCAAAUCCUACUAGAUCUAUGUGAUUUGACCCCAGCCUAUCAUUCGGACUUCAGACCUCUCUCCUGCUACCUUACUGUGCUCCAGCAGCACUGGCCUCCUUGCUGUUCUUUUUUUUUUUUUUUUUUUUUUUUGAGAUGGAGUUUUGCUCUUGUUGCCCAGGCUGGGGUGCAAUGCUGUGAUCUUGGCUCACUACAACUUCCGCCUUCCAGGUUCAAGCAAUUCUCCUGCCUCAGCCACCCAAGUAACUGGGAUUACAGGCGCCUGCCACCACACUCAGCCAAUUUUUUGUAUUUUUAGCAGAGAUGAGGUUUCACCAUGUUGGCCAGGCUGGUCUCGAACUCCUGACCUCAGGUGAUCCUCCUGCCUUGGCCUCCCAAAGUGUUGGGAUUACAGGCAUGAGCCACCGCUCCCAGCCCUCCUUCCUGUUCUUUGAUGGUGCCAAGCAUACUCCUGCCUUGGGGCCUUUACAUCUGCUGUUCCCUCUGCCUGGAAUGCUCUUUCUAGAUUUUUAAUGCCUUACUUUCUCAUUUUCUAACUCAGAGAGGCUGAACCUAGGUACCUCAUUUUAAACAGAUACCCCUGCAAGGGUUUCUUCCUCUCCUUAUGCUUAUUUUCCUCAUAGCACUUACCCCACAUUGAUAUUGAGAUUUUUUUUCUUUCUUUUCUUUCUUUUUCUCUUUCUUUCUUUUUCUUUCUCUUUCCUUCCUUCCUUCCUUUCAUUCUUUUCUUUUUCCUUCCUUCCUUCCAUUCUUUUCUCUCUCCUUCCUUCCUUCUCCCUUCCCUCCCCUCCCCUCCCCUCAUAUAGGGGUCUCACUAUGUUGCCCAGGCUCCUGGACUCAAGUGAUCUUCCCACCUUAGCCUCCCAAGUAGCUGGGAUUAUAGGCACACACCAGCACACCUGACUCUAUGUAGUCCCACCUGAAAUGUAAGUUUCCCUCUGAAAUACAGGUUCAAUACUUUGUUUUGUUCACUUUGUAUCAUCAGCAUUUACAUCUGCCAGGCAUUCAAAAAUAUUCGUUGAAUAAGUAAGUGAGCAAACUUACCUGCUUCCACAGCCAUCCUUUCCCCUCUCCCUAGAGAUGUUUUUCUUCCUGUCUGAGAUUAUAAUGUCUCCCCUGUGUCCUGCCUCCUCAGCAUUCCUUAAUAUUGCCUAUCUUCCACAUUCAGUUCUCCCUGGCUACAUUUUUUGUUUUCUGGCAAGCAUACAUCUCUCCCAUCUUAAAUUAAAACAAAAAAAGAGAAAGAAAAUUCUCUCUGGGCAUCCCCUGUCAGCUGCCAGUCUCUGUCUCUCCUGCUCUUAACAAACUUUUGAAAUAUUUAUUUAUACUCUUUGCAUUGCCUCAAUUCUCUUUCAUUCAAGUUUCUCCAAACCCAUAGAAACUGUUCACUCCUGCUUUAAACUUUCUUUCCUGAGCUCUUCCAAGAUAUUACUCUCUUAUUGUUUUUUUAAUCUUACUUCCCUGAUUGCUACUUUUCCUGUCCCUCCCUCAAAUUUUGUAUAUCACAGCGUUCUGAUACAAGUUCUUCAUGUUCUCCAGAUUCUUCCUUGGCAAUCUUACUACAUCCAUUGCUUUAGUUACCACCUAAACCUGGAAGCCCAGCUCAGAUUUCUCUGUACUAAGCUCAUGACUUAUUUGACCUAGUGUCUACUUGAUAUCCACCUUGAUUUCCACAAGCACCUCAAAAUAAAGAUGCCCUCUUCCAUCUCCAAACUUGAUUCUCCUCCAGUGUUACUUAUUUUAGUGAGUGGUAGCAUCAUCCAGUUGCUCAAGUAGAAAACAUGGAUAUUGUCCUUGAUUUAUCCUUCGCCUUCAGCCCCCUUCCCCCAUUUAGCCAACCAUUGGCUUCCAUUAAUUCUAUUACAGUGAGAGAAAUUGUAUCCCCCCAGAAAGAUAUGUGAAAGUCCCAGCCCCCACUGCUUAUGAAUGUGAUCUUACUUAGGGUCUUUGUAGAUGUAAUUCAGGAUCUUGAGAGGUGAUUAUCCCGGAUUAGGGAGGGCCCUAAAUCCAAUGACUGAUGUCCUUAAACAUGAAAGGAGAGGGAGAUGUGAGACAAAGACACAGGGGAGAAUGCCAUGUGAAGAUCCCUAUAAGGCUGGAGAGAGAGAUUGGAGUGAUGCUGCUACAGGCCAAAGAACACCAAGAAUUGCCAACCCCAUUGACAGCCUGAUUUCAGACUUCUGACCUCCAAAACUGUAAGAGAAUAAAUUCUGCUUUUUUAAGUCAUGAGGUUUGUAGUAAUCUGUUAUGGUAGUCCCAGGAAACAAAUUUUCUACCUUCUAAAUAGCUCUGAAAUCCAUCUAUGUUUCUCUACCAACACUGCUGCUAACUAGUUCAGAUCAUGAUUAAUCUUCUGCCUCAUCUCCCUGCUACUAGUCUCAGCCCAUCUUUCUAAAAUGCAUGAAAUUCAUUCCACUAUUUAAAAUCUGUUGAGUAGUUUGCCAGUGACUUGGAUUAAGUCUAAAUGCCUAGUAUCAUGGUUUAUGGGACUUUAUAAUUUGGCUUCUGCCUACUUGUGUAGCCUUCUUUUCCCACUCACCCUCAAUUCUGUUUUUUGUUUUGUUUUUUGUUUGUUUUUGAGACAGAGUUUCUAUUGUUGCCCAGGCUGAAGUGCAAUGGUGCGAUCUCGGCUCACCAGAUCAAGGUUCAAGCGCUUCUCCUCCCUCGGCCUCCCAGGUUCAAGCGUUUCUCCUGCCUCAGCCUCCCAAAUAGCUGGGAUUACAGGCGCAUGCCACCACGCCCGGCUAAUUUUGUAUUUUUAGUAGAGACGGGGUUUCUCCAUGUUAGUCAGGCUGGUCUCAAACUCCCGACCUCAGGUGAUCCGCCCGCCUCAGCCUCCCAAAGUCUUGGGAUUGCAGGCGUUAGCCACUGUGCCCGGCCCCCACUCACCCUCAAUUCUAUGCUACAGGCAUAGUAAUAAUUUCUGAUAUUUCUCAGCAUUUAUUCUGUGCCAGCCACUAUUCUAGGGGCUAAAUUGCACAACAACCCUGUAAGAUAGAAAACAGGUUUCUUUCAAUGUCUCAGCCUUUCUUUCUCUCGCUUCCAGGAUUUUGCACACGCUGUUCACACUGCUCUCUGCCUGAAACACUCUACUUUCUUUUCCCUUGCUCUUUGACCCUCUCUCAACUGGCUAAUUCAUACUAACACUUUAGGCCCCAGUUUAUUCAAUACUUCCUCCAAGAAGCGUUCCUCACUUCCUAAAUCUGGGUAUAUGUGCCACCCUCACUGCCUAUAUUCCCAUUACACCCUGAACUCCCCCAUCAGAAUACUGUUUACUGGUCUAUACCUCACACUGUAUUUUAUGUUUUCUUUGGGGAAGGGGUGUAUCUCUAUUACCAUUGUAACUCCAUUCCCAGAAUCGAGCACAAUGCCUGGCAUAGAAGAGAUGCUCAAUCACUAUAUGUUGAGUAAAUGAAAAAACCUUAAACAAAGGUUGCUAAUAGCAUUAUGUCUCUAAUACCAGCCAGGGCAGAAAGAAAUGCAUCCCAGACCUACUUGCCAACUGUCCUCUUCCUCACAAUUCUGAUGCCUCUGCCUGGACCAGUCCUGAAACAUCUUUUCAUAGGAAUUCCAUGAGAUCUCUAAGGCCAGUUAAUCUUCAGUUCCCUAUCAUAUUCAGCACUUCUCCAAAUACAAGCCUCUACAGGUGGCUCUCCUUUCCCAGAGAGCUUUGCAAGCUCUCCCAAACCCUUCUGCUUACUUCUGCUCUCCUUUUUCCUGGGCUUUCUGGAACUCCAGCCUAUUCAAAACAAACUCACCUGUAUUUUCAUCCUUUUUUUUUUUUUUUUUUGGAGACAGAGUCCCACUCUGUCGCCCAAACUGGAGUGCAGUGGCACCAUCUCGGCUCACUGCAACUUCUGCCUCCCAGGUUCAAGCAAUUCUCAGCUUCCCGAGUAGCUGGGACUACAGGUGUGCACCACCACACCUGGCUAAUUUUUGUAUUUUCAGUAGAGACGGGGUUUCGCCAUGUUGGCCAGGCUUGUCUCGAACUCAAGCAAUCCACCUGCCUCAGCCUCCCAAAGUGCUGGGAUUAUAGGCAUGAGCCACUGUGCCUACCCAUAUUUUCACCCUUUUAACAGAAUAUUCUUUCCAUCUCUGGCCUGAAAUAGAAACCUGUUUUCCAUUAGAAAAAUUAUCUUCUUACUUCUCUCUUGGGUGGAAGUUGUUAAUUUGUCUCACCCUUGUAGAAAACCCUCUCCUUUCAA